This 57640-nucleotide long non-coding RNA is filed under the name Vitis vinifera (wine grape). Its description in RNAcentral is "long non-coding RNA (VVIN_LNC000888)". The record is from RNAcentral. Lineage: Eukaryota; Viridiplantae; Streptophyta; Magnoliopsida; Vitales; Vitaceae.
UAGUAUUAGCUAGUGAUGAUGAAGAAAAUAGAGCUUAUUUUUGUCUCUGUCUCAGCUAUAGGACAUAUUGUAUCAACUGUGGAGUUUGCUAAGCUUCUUGUUGGUAGAGAUGACCGCUUCUCAGUCACUCUGCUCAUCAUGAAGCUACCUCUUGAGGACUCUGCGGCAACCAACUAUAUCCAUUCAGUUUCUGCUUCUGUUUCCGGGUCCAUUCGAUUUGUCCACCUUCCUGAACUCGACUCAGAUUCAUCAUCGUCAUCCACUAAUGUCUUAUUCUCUAAUAUCAUUGAAAGGCAGAAGCCUCUGGUGAGGGAUGCAAUCCACCAGCUCACUCGGUCUGAGUCGGGUCGACUCGCUGGGAUUGUGGUCGAUUUGCUUUGCACUUCCAUGAUAGAUGUAGCUAAUGAAUUGGGUGUUCCUUCCUAUGUGUACUUCGCCUCCAGUGCGGCCUGCCUUGCUCUCAUGUUUCAUCUUCAAACCCUCAAGGACCACCAGGGCGUGGAUGUUACUGAGUUUGCUAACUCGGAUGCUGAGUUGGUGGUCCCGGGUUUUGUCAACCCGGUUCCUGCUCGAGUCUUGCCUGCUGUGGCGGUGGACAAGGAGGGUGGCGGAUCCAUGGAUUUCCUCGACCUGGCAAGGGGCUUUAGAGAGGCCAAGGGUAUUUUGGUAAAUACGUUUGUGGAGCUAGAAUCUCAUGUGAUUAACUCCUUUGUCGAUGGUACAACUCCUCCCAUUUACAAAGUAGGGCCAUUAUUGAACUUACAACAUGCCAACAACCAAAAACCAGAUAGUGACUUGGACGUCAUCCGAUGGCUUGAUGAUCAGCCCACAUCAUCUGUGGUGUUUUUAUGUUUUGGUAGCGCUGGAGCAUUCCACAUGGAUCAAAUCAACGAGAUUGCAAUUGGGCUCGAGAAUAGUGGGCAUCGUUUCUUGUGGACACUCCGACGACCUCCACCAAAAGAUAAGAUGGCAAUAUCUAGUGAUUAUGUAAAUUUCGAGGAAGUAUUACCUGAAGGGUUCUUAGAUCGUACAUCUAAAAUUGGGAAGAUAAUUGGAUGGGCACCACAAACGGCUAUUUUAGCUCACUCUGCAGUAGGAGGGUUUAUAUCUCAUUGUGGGUGGAAUUCUACAUUAGAAAGCAUAUGGUAUGGUGUCCCAGUAGCCACAUGGCCUAUGUAUGCAGAACAACAAUUGAAUGCGUUUCAAAUAGUUAGAGAGUUAGAAAUGGGGGUAGAGAUUAGAUUUGAUUAUAACAUGGAUACUAGUAAUCUUGUAAGUGCUCAAGAAAUUGAGAGUAGAAUAAGAAGUCUAAUGGAUGAUAGCAGCAACAUUAGAAUGAAAAGGACAAAAAUGAAAGAGAAGUGCAUGAAGGCCUUGACAGAAGGUGGAUCUUCAGACUGUAGCAUACAACGUCUAAUUGGAGACAUCAUAACUAAUAUCUCAUGAAGCGCAAAUUAUAGCAAUGUAUUAUCAAAAAAAGGUUCUAAGUCCUUAAAAAUGUUUGUUUCAAUUGCUUUUAAUAAUGUAAUGGUUGAGUGUCAUAGAAAAAUUGAUUAAAAAAUUAAGUUGGAAAAAAUGUAUUGUCUACUUAUUUUAAAUAAAAAUAAAAAUGGCAUAUGUUACAUCUUGUGUGACAUCUUUAUUUUAAUAUUAGAUGAUGUAUCAAAUCCAAAUUGUAUGGGAAUAUAAAAGGGUUUUAGGCUUUCUCAUCUUAUAUGUCUUGUUCUUGUAAGCCCUCAUACGAAAUGAUCACAUCCCAUUGCCAUUUCCAUUCAAUUUGGUGUUUAAUUUUGUUGUUAUUAAUUGUAAGAGGUUAGUUUUACAAAUCUUCCUCAUAUUUGAUUAUAAAUAUUUGAAUUUUCAAUACCUAACCUUGUCUCAUGUUAUUUGGGAGUGGUUAUUAAAGGAUUAAAGUAACUUUGUCAAAGUUGUGGUUGUGAAAUGAUAAAAUUUUGGUUUUAGUAAUAUAAUUUUUUAGACUUAGGUAUUUGGUAAAUUAACUUAAUAAGUUAAAAUAACUUGAUAACUUAAUUUAAGUUAUUAAGUAAAUUAAGUAUGUUUGGUAAAAUAAAGAUUUAAAGUAAAAAACAACUUUAAGCAAUAAGGAAAAUAAUUAACUUAUUUUUAAGUAUCCUCAUUUGACAUUUUUAUCCCCAUUUACAUUAAUUAUCUCCACAAUCUCUUUUGCUACUUCACGAUCUUCAUUGUUACUCGACCUCAUUUUCCCUAAUUAUAAUUUAUGAGAAUAAAUAUAUUAAUUUAAUUAUUUGAAAUAAAUUUUACAACCUUAAUACUUAAAGUAAUAAUUAAGUAAUAAAUUUUAAAUCAACAACAUAAGUAUAAUUUAACUUAAAGUCAACUUAAGCGACUAAGUAAUAAGUAUUAAGUUUUACCAAACAUUCCCUUAGGUGGUGUUUGUAUUUUUUUUUUACUUAGUUAUAAAUAGAAUUUAAAACUAAAUAGCGUUUAAUAAUGUUAAGUAUUAAGUUAUUUGUUUUUAUAAUAUUUUAUUUCUAUUAAGUAUAUAAAAAUAAAGAAAAAUCAAUAUAUUAUUUUUUCUAUAAAAAAUUAAAGAUUUUGAUUAUUUUUUACUCAACAAAAAAUUUAUAAUAAGUUAUAAAAAAUAGAAAAAUAACUCUCUUAGUUUAUAUUAAUUUCUUCUUUAACUUAAAUGAUUUUAAUUUUUUUGUAGUUUUUUUAGUGACUUUUUUAAAAAAGACACAAAAAUGGACUUUUUUGUGCUUAAGCUUUUCAAAUUAAUAUAUAUUUUUAUUAUUUUGUAUUUCAUAUUAAUAUAAUUAAAAAUAAAAAAAUUGUUAAAAUAUCCAAUGUGUAUAAAAGGAAAUGAAUCAUGGGUAGAAACAAAUGGAAUCAUGCUAAAUUAUAAAUAAAUAAGAUAUUUUUGUUAUAUUGUAUUUUUUUAUUUUAUUGAUCACCAUUUUUUUAAAUGAGAUCGUGAACUACAUUUUAGUAUCAUAGAAUGGCCCAAAAAGAAUAUGACACAUGGCAUAAUAAAUAGACAAAUGCAUUACAUGUGAGGCUGGUCCCAAAGGUGAUGGGGGUUGGAGAGAAUAGGAGUUGCACGUGGCACCCAAAUACCAUAUUCCCAAAAUCAGAAAAUAAAUUCGCGAAUUGAGGGAAACCCUAGGAGAGAGAGGAGAAAGGAGAGAAUGGGGAAGAAGAAGAAGAGAGCAGCUAAGGUGUUCUGCUACUACUAUGAGAGGGAGUUCGAGGAUGAGAAGAUUCUUCUUCAGCACCAGAAGGCCAAGCACUUCAAGUGCCAUGUUUGCAACAAGAAGCUCUCCACUGCCUUUAGCAUGGCCAUCCACAUCCUCCAGGUCCACAAGGAGACCGUCUCCAAGUACUAUUGCUUGUCAUUUGCAUUUUUUUUUUAAGACAAUUUCCAUUCAUGUGUUGGAUUGUUGGAAUUUAUAUAGGUGAAUUGAAAUUAAGAUUUUUUUUUUCUCAUAAGACAUGUUGUUUCUUAAUAGACAUAACUUGUUUUAAAUGAUGUAUUUUGUAUUUAAAAGACACAUCCUCUUCCAAAUGAUUUGUUUAAUGUCUUCAGAGACAACUAUAAACCCUCUAAUUUGUUCUCUUAGCACAUGUGACACUAGGUGUCUUCUCAUACUUCUCUUUUGACUCAUAGUCAUCCCUUAGUGGCCCAUCGACAAUUAUAUAGUUUCAUUUUCUAAGCCACCUUUAGGAACUCUUUGCUAAGGGACUCAUUUAGACCCACAUUGUGACCUUGGCCACCCUUCAUCCUUAGGUUAGAUCCUACUUAGGUUCACCUAGGCCCUCUUAGAUUUACUAAAGCCCACCUUGACACACCUUGACCCAUUUUGGUCACUUUUCGGUAAUUCCUGCAUGACUUACAUAAUUUGCAUGAUUUGCAUUUUUAACGCUCGCAUAUACUUGAUUUUCUUAUUUAUUAAUUUUUCUAUUUAUUUAUUUCUAUUUAGUAUUAUUGGUGUAGGGAUUUGUUUAUCUUUCUUUAUUUAGUUACCUAUUUUCAGAAAAUUGCAUGUGGUUGGUUAUCUUGUCUCUUUUAUUAUUAUUAUUAUUAUUACUAUUAUUAAAUUUGCAUGAAUUAAUACUUUAGUUUUCUCUUUUAUUUAUAUAUAUAUAUAUAUAUAUAUAUAUAUAGAUAGAUAUUCUUUGACAUGAAAAUCACGGGUCGCAUAUUGACAUAGUGAAGGAGGUCACAACAUAUUGAAAAUUUUUGGAGGAUCAUGAGGACUUUGUUUUUUUUUGGAAAGUUACCACCUUGAGAAGAUGAAGGGAAUGAGACCGCACCAUGGGAACUUGGGUUGCACCAUGGGAAAUCAAGUUACUCUAGGAAGAGUGUAAAUGUGAAGUUGUGUUAGACUUAAGUCUUUUAUUUUUUGUCAACUCCUUGGGAAGAGUCUCAUUAGGAGUGUGCUAGUAGAGUCCCAUUCCGCUGACAAGUAGAGUCUCGUUCUGCUUAUAAGUAGAGUCCUAUUCUGAUUACAAGUAGAGUCAUGUUCUGAUUAUAAGUAGAGUCACCCCUGACUGUCAAAUAAUUUUUUUUUUAAAGAGUUCUUCUAAACCUUCCAAUGUUUUGCUUUCCUCUCCAUUCUUUCAUACAUCUAUCUGGAGGAAUUUUUUAGAACCCAAGUUGUACACGUCUUGCCUAUAAAGUGCACCCAAAGCGAGAUUCAUUGGUACCCUAGUGCACCAAGUUCGUUUUGGAGAAGGGUGGAUCUAUUUCAAAGACAAUGCUUGUUACCCCUCAACCUAUCACCGAUAAGUUUCUUGUUAUUCAUUCCACUCUUUGUUUGUGUGUUUUGGGCUAGUCCUCUGUUUUCAUACCCUUAAAACAACAAUCUUGAAAUAGAUCCAAAUGGAAGCUUCCCUAGUUCACACCUGUCCUAACACCUCUAAGAUUGAUCCCUUCAAUAUGACAUUCUUUGAGAGAUGGCAGGAAAUAGUUUUCUCUGUAAUUGAUGUAGUGAACUUGGGACACAUUUUAACUAACCUAAAACCAGAAAAUGGUUCUGAAUUGUUGCCUACUUAGGAAAUUGAUAAUAAACAAGUUAGACAUGAUAUUCUUAGUACCCUUUCUAAUGAAAUUUUUGAUGUUUAUUGUCAGUAUAAAGUUGCAAAAGAAAUUUGGGAUGCAAUGAAUAAAAAAUAUAUUUUGGAAGAUGUAAGAACUCAUAAAUAUGCAAUAGGGAAUUUAACAAAUUUCCAAAUGACCAAGGAUAUCAACGUAUCAUCUCAAAUCCAUUACUACCAUUUGUUGAUUAAUGACUUAGCUAUUAAAGAAAUUAAAUUACCUGAACCUUUUGUGGUUAGUUACUUAGUAGAGACUCUUCCAGAGUCUUGGAAAGACUGAAAAAAUAACAUGAAAUAUCAAAGGAAACAAAUGUCCCUAGAAGAUAUCAUAAUCCAUAUUAGGAUUGAGGAAGAAAAUCGAAAUAUGGACAAUGUUGAGAAAGCUAAGGAACUGUCUUCUAAGGCUAAUGUAGUAGAAGAAAAACCUAAACCCAAAAACAAUAAGUCCAGAAAGCAAAACAUUAGGACCAAGCCUAAUGUAUCAAACAAGGUUUAGAACCUAACUAUUAAAAAAUAGUGUAAUUGCUUUGUCUGUGGCAAGUCUGGACACCAUGCAACUCAAUGCCACCAUAGGAAGAGAACUGAGAAGUCUAAUUCAAAGGAAAAUCUGGCAAAGACAGAGGUGAUCACAACAAUAGCCUUCUCUGAUGUGAGCAUUAUCUUUAAUAUGAAGGAUUGAGUGGUAGACUCUAGGGCUACCAAGCACAUCUAUGGAAACAUAAGUGCAUUUGCUUCCUAUACCACUAUAAAGAAAGAAGAGGAACAAGUGUUCAUGGGCAAUUCUAGAUCUACCCUAGUGAUUGGCAAAGGAAAAGUUCUUCUCAAGCUAACCUCUGGAAAAGUGCUCGCCGCCCAUAGUGAUGUUCUUCAUGUGCCAAAUAUCCGCUGGAACUUGGUGUUAGUAUCUUUGUUUGGGAAAGCAAGAGUGAGGAUCUUGUUUGACUCCGAUAAAAUAGUUUUAACCAAGAAUGAUGCAUUUGUGGGGAAGGGCUAUUGUAAUCACAGUUUAUUUAUGUUGAAUAUUUUUAUAUUAUCAAUAAUAAUGCAUCUUCUUCUUCUGCUUACAUAGUUGAUUCGUGUGAUAUUUGGCAUGGUAGAUUAGGACAUGUGAACUUUUCAUAUACGAAGAAAAUUGUUGAAUUGAGUUUAAUCCCUAAGUUGUCCUUAGAAAAUCUUAGAAAAUGUUAAUCAUCUGUAGAAUCUAAAACCACAAAGAAAUCUUGCAAAUCAGUAGAAAGAGAAUCAGAUUUACUAAGUUUAAUACACAGUGACUUAGGAGACCUAAAAAAUACAAUGACUAGAGGUGGUAAACGAUUCUACAUAACUUUCAUAGAUGACUACUCAAGGUAUACAAGGGUAUAUCUUUUGAGAAACAAAGAUGAAGUAAGAGAUGUUUUCAUCAAGUACAAAAAUGAAGUGGAAAAUCAACUAAGUAAGAAGAUUAAAAAGCUUAGAACUGAUAAAGGAAGAGAGUAUGAGUCCAACCCCUUUAAUUAUUUUUGUGAAGAUCAUGGGAUCAUUCAUGAAACUACUACUCCUUAUUCUCCUUACUCUAAUGGAGUAGCAGAAAGAAAAAAUAGGACCUUAAAAGAAAUGAUAAACGCAAUGUUGGUAAGUUCAGGAGCACCCUUGAACUUGUGGGGGGAAGUUAUCAUUUCCUCUUGUCAUAUUCAAAAUAGAAUACCUUACAAGAGAACUGGUAAAACUCCUUAUGAGUUGUGGAAGGGUUAUGCACCUAAUAUAACAUACCUGAAAGUGUAGGGUGAUUAGCUAAAGUUCUUUUCCCUAAACCUAAUGUUCGUUGGCUAUGCUGAGAAUAGUGUGACAUAUAGGUUUCUUGUUACUAAGUCAGAAAACAGUCUUAUGGAUGUCAAUACCAUAAUAGAAACAAAGAAUGAGGAUUUCUUUGAAAACAUAUUUCCUAUGAAACUAAAUGGUGAACAACAAGUUCAGAAAACAAGUAGAGAUGAGUCUAUUGAACCUUCUAAGUUUGAACCUAGAAGGAGUAAAAGAGAUAAGAAAGAAACAAACCUUAGAGAUGGCUUUUAUGCCUUCCUAAUAGAUGAAGACCCAAGAUCCUACAAAGAAGCUAUAACUUCUCCUGAUGCACCAUUCUGGAAAGAGGUCAUUAACAGUGAAAUCGAAUCAAUCAUGUAUAACCAUAAAUGAGAGUUAGCAAAUUUACCUCCUGGUGCAAAGACUAUUUAUUGUAAGUGGAUAUUUAAAAGAAGGUUAAAAUAAGAUGAGUCUGUAGAGAAGUAUAAAGCUCGUUUAGUUUCCAAAGGCUUUAAACAAAGGAAUGAUGUAGAUUACUUUGACAUAUUUUCCCUUGUGACUAGAAUAGCGUCAAUUAGAGUAUUGAUCGCUCUAUCUUCCAUUCAUAACCUGGUGAUACACCAAAUGGACGUCAAAAUUGCAUUCUUGAAUGGGGAUUUGGAAGAGCAAAUUUAUAUGGAACAACUUGAGGGUUGUGUAGUUCUAGGGAAGAAGAAAAAUGUGUGUAGGUUGGUUAAAUCACUAUAUAGGUUAAAACAAGUUCCCAAACAAUGGCACAUCAAGUUUGAUCAUGUGUUAGUAACUAAUAGAUAUUCCAUUCAUGAUGUUGAUAAAUGUAUCUACAACAAGUAUGAGGAUAACACAUGUGUAGUCAUUUGCCUUUAUGUUGAUGACAUGCUGAUUUUUGGAACUAGCCUAGAGGUUGUGUGUAAGACCAAAAAAUUCCUAGGUUCUGAGUUUGAUAUGAAAGACCUAGGAAAGGUAGAGGUGAUUCUAGGAAUUAAAAUAACUAGAACACAUAAUGGGCUUAAGCUUUCUCAAGAGCACUAUGCUGAGAAGAUCCUAAAGAAGUUUGAACACUUUGAUUGUAAACCAGUGUCAACUCCUUAUGAUCUCAGCUCACAACUGAAGAAAAAUAAAGAACAAAAUGUUGCCCAAAUCGAGUAUGCUCAAAUCAUAGGAACCCUAAUGUACUUAAUGAACUAUACCAUACUUGACAUUGCUUAUGUAGUAGGUAGAUUAAGUCGGUACACCUAAAGUCCUAAUCAGGACCAUUGGACCAUUGUUCGUAGAGUCCUUAAGUAUUUGAGAGGCACCAUUAACUAUGGUUUGUGCUAUAGUGGAUAUCCAAGUGUCCUUGAAGGAUUUAGUGAUGUAAAUUGGAUCUUAGAGUCAGAUGAGAUGAAAUCCACUAGUGGAUAUGUUUUCAUCCUUGGUAGAAGUGUAGUUUCUUGAAAGUUUGCCAAGCAAACUUGCAUUACUCAGUCUACUAUGGAAGCUAAGUUUAUUACCUUAGAAAAGACAAGUUCUGAGGUUGAGUGGCUUAGAAACCUCUUAGUAGAUCCCGUCUGUGUCUAUGCGUUGUGAUAGCCAAGUUGUAAUUGCUAAGGCUAAGAGUAAAAUAUUUAAUGGAAAGAACAAACAUAUAUGCCUAAGGCACAAUAUUGUGCGACUGCUGCUUGAAAUAGGGGUUAUAUCUCUAGAAUUUGUGAGGUCAAAGUUGAAUUUGCUCGAUCCUUUGACCAAACCACUAAAUAAGAAACUAAUGGAAGAAACAUCGAGGGGGAUGGGGCUUAUGCCUAUUACAAAAGUCAACAGUGGUGGUAACCUAACCUAUUAGAAUGGAAAAUUCUAUGAAGUUGGUUCAUAUGGGUAAUAACAAAUCGCUUGUCAACUUGAGGUGCUCUAUCAACUUUAAUUGUAUGAGAGUCUAUCCCUAUGGUGUGGAUAGAGCAUAUUCUGCAUUGACUAAGGUUGAGUGUUUACUCUUAAUGAAUGCCACAUUCCUUAUGAAUGGUAUGUUUAAAUGCAUAAUAUACUUGAUGGAUUCAACUAUAUGAGAGUAGAGAUGAGACCACUUCCUAUAAAAACUUAAGCAGGUUCUCUAGAGCUCUCAUAAAUAUCCAGGCAGAGUACAUGGCCUAUUUGUGUCAACCCGUUAUGUACAACUCAUAAUGUAAUUAAGAAAACCAAUGUGGAUAAAGGUCUCUUAAGUUACAUCAAGAAACACUGGUUCAUAGAAAUUCAUUUUUCACCGUAUUUUGUGAUUCAAUACUUAUUUGUCCUAAGAUUGGUUCAUAGCCUUUGGGUACCAAUACUGAUGCAUUUGAUUUUUUUUUCUCCAUUUUUUCCUUCCUUCACAUCUACUCUCUAUGAGGGAUUGCAGAAAGAGUGUAAAUGUGAAGUUGUGUUUGACUUAGUCUUUUAUUUUUUAAUGACUCUUUGGGAAGAUUCCCAUUAGGAGUGUGCUAGUAGAGUCUCGUUCCGCUUACAUGUAGAGUCUUGUUCUGUUUAAACUAGAGUCAUGUUCUAAUUACAAGUAGAGUCAUAUUUUUAUUACAAGUAGAGUCCUGUUGGGACUGUGUUAGUGGCCUAUAAAAGCAGGUCACUCCUCACUCUCAAAUAUAUUUUUUUUUUCAGAGAGUUCUUCUAAAUCUUCCAACAUUUGGCUUUCCUCUCCACUCUUUCAUACAUCUAUCUGGAGGAAUUUUUUAGAACACGAAUUGUACACAUCUCGCCUGUAGAGUGCACCCAAGGUGAGAUUCACUGGUUGAUGAAUCCUAGAGGUAGAUCACUGGUACCCUAGUGCACCAAGUUUAUCUUCAAGGAAGGUGAAUCGAUUUCAAGAACACUGUUUGUCACACCUCAACCGAUCAUCGAUAAGUUUCGUGUUAUUCAUUCUAUUCUUUGUUUGUGUGUUUUGGGCUAUUCAUUUGUUUUCAUACCCUUAAAACAAUAGUUACUUCAUGGGAAAGAGAACAUUGGAAGAUAAGAAGAUUUUUGGAGGAAUAUGACAAUUGUAUUCUCUAGGGAGCCACAACAUCAAUAUGAGAAGAGUAAGUCUUCAUUGAAAAAAAAAAAAAGACAAAUUUAAGGAAAAUGAUCAACAGGGACUGCAAAUUUGAUUUUGAGGGUCUCCUUACAAUAGACCGAACCAUCUAACAACCCUUUUCUUCAUAAGAGGACAUCACUUUAUGACCAUACUAAAUCCAACAUUGCCAUUUGGACCGUAAGGAUGCUUGCUUGCUAUUUGCACCAGAGAAGGAUGAAUGAAGUUGUAUCGUGCACCAUUUUGUGAGUUGCAAACCACAUUCUGGUAAGUUAAGAGGAAAUAAUCCACAUCAAAUUUUGGAAGCCAUGACAUCUGGGAGGUUAUUGAUACUUGAGAGGAAAAUUUUCAACUUUUUGACUUCUUUGAUCAUUUAAUCCAACUGAAAGUAAAAAAAAUCAAGGAUCAUUGACGAAUGAGGUUGUGAUAUGGUGCCUAAUUUCUAGUACAAUAGCCUUAAUUUUGAGUUAUAUAUCAUAUUCGAUCAUCAAAGGCAGGAGUAAUAGAUGACGGGGGUUCAGAUUCUUCCAUCCAUAUACCAAUGAUGGCGUUGAUGGUGAGAGGGUCUUGUGGCACACCGUCAAAGCCAUCCAAAAAGAUUGCCUCAUCUACACCGAUGACCAUGAUGCUUCUUCUAAUAGCUUGAUGGCUCGUGUCGUUCGACAUUUUGGUGGAGUUUUCAAGGUGAGGGUUGAGAAGCAGGUUUGAGCGUGUUGAGAAAGAGAUUCAAAGCCUUGGGAGGAUUUUUUAGAAAAGAGAUCGCACACAAAGGGUUGUCCACUUUCCAUUUGAGAGAACGAUAAUCAGAAUUUUUAAGGAACAACAAUCAGAAUUUCUAGAGUGGUGGAUGUUAAGAAUUUUUUUUUUUUUUUUUUAUGGGAUAACGAUCAGAAUUUUUCCGAGAACAACAAUCAGAAUUUUUGGAGAGGAAGAUGCAACAAAGAAACCAUCAUCUUAAUGCGCACCACCAGAAUUGUAGAACCAACUCACCAUCGAUAACUGUUCUCCAUCUUCAUGCACAGGUUGAUCAUUCGACCAAUGGGACGCACUCUCUACGGGGAAAACCAAUAGAACCAGACAUCAUCUUCACAUGAAAGAAGGUUUCCACAUUGAGGGGCUGCCACUUUGAAACCAUUGUCGGCAUCUCUCCAUCACAAAGGAGCUUCGGCAUGCAUCGCUUCACAGGAACACCCAUAGGUGAGUUUUUUUUAUUUUUUUUGGGAAACUUUGGUAUUUGAAUCCAUGAGUGCUAUACAUGUAGUGGAAGAUUGAGGAUUUUUUUUUUUUUUUAAAUAUAAUAUAGAGUCAUGAGUGUUUGAACGCUAGUGGCUUGGCUUUUUUUAGGGAAAAAAAAUUGAUGUAUAUACACGUGGUCCGCCAUGUGAUGUUUCAAGUAUGUUAAUAGUUUGUUUCAUUGAAUUAAAAAUUAAAGUGAAUGUGGUGGGUCAUGUUGUUAUUGGUUUACAUUGUUAUAAAUUUACAAUGAAACAAAUGAAAACUAAUAUCCAUAAAAAUUCAUUCAUUUAUUUAUUUAUUUAUUCAUUUUCAUAAAGUUAUUUGUUGCAAAUUUUGAAUAUCCAUGUUAGUUUAUACUUUUCAUAAAACCAUUUGUUGUUAAUUUUAAAUAUAUAUAUUAAUUUAUAUUGCUCCUUGAACUUUUAGUUUGUAGUUUUGGUUGAUCCAUGUUAAUUUUUGUUAUCCUUAAAAUUAUCAAUUGUUAUUUUGGUUGAUCCAUGUUAAUUUUUUGUGGUCCUUUGAAUUUUUAGUUUUUAAUUUGAUGGUCUGUGUUAAUUUUUAUAUACCUUUGAGCUUUUAAUUGUUGAUUUUAAUAAACUAUGUUAGUAUAUAUUCCUUCUUGAAUUUUUAGUUUUUGGUUUUGGUUGAUCCAUGUUGAUUUAUAUUGCUCUUUGAAUUAUUAAUUAAUAUUUUGGUUGAUCCAUGUUGUUUAAUAGUUUUCUUUAAAUAUGAGGGUUUUAGUUUUUAUUUACCUCUUAUUAGUUUGUGAUUUAAAUAUCCUUAGAUGUUAGUUUUUAUUAUUUUCCAAUUAUUCAUUCUUAUUGAACCUAAAUUAGUUCAUGUUUUUAUUAUCUCUAGCAUUAGUUUGGUUGUUCCUCAUUAAUUUAGGUUUUUAAUAUCCCUAGUUGUUGACUUUUGUUAAUAUUUCAUGUUAGUAUAUGUUCUUAAUAAUUUUAGGCUUAGUUUCCUUGACCCUUGAUGAUAUUAAUUCAUGCUAGUUUAAAAUUGUUAUUAUCAUUGUUAUUAUUAUUAUUAUUUGUUAACCCAUAUAGAUUUUUUUGUUGUCCUUUGACCUUUUAAUCUUAGGUAUUGAUUAUCCAUGUCAUUUGAGUAUUAUUAGAUCAUUUUCAUGCUAUGAGAGUUCUCAUCUUUAAAAUUUUGGUAAUUCUAAGGUGUUAAAUCUUCUUAGUAUUAUUCAUGAUAAUUUUAUGUUAAAUAAUUUUUCUUGAAUGACAGUAAAUUAGUUUCAGAUUUUUCAUUAUUUGUUUAAUAUUAGUUAGUUUCAUGUUAUUUAGAUUAUUUUCAUGCCAUUAAAAGUAUUAUCCCUUAUAGUUUAUUAAUUCUUAGGUUUUAAUCUUCUUGUUUUAGCUUCAUAUCAUUAUAUUAUUUCCCAUGCUAUUAAAAGUUUUGUAAUGCAAGUUCGAUAAUUUUAAUAUUUGAUCUUCAUGUUUUUAGUUUCAUGUCAUUCAAUAAUUUUUCAUGAUAUUGAAAGUUCUUCUUUGGAAAUUUAGUAGUUCUUAAGUUUUAGAUCUUCUUGUUAUUAUUCAUGUAUUUUGAUCCUGUUAUCAUAUUAAAAGUUGUCUUUUUUGGAAACUCGGUAGUCUUAGGAUUUAGAUCCUAAAUCCUCCAAUUAUUAUUCAUGCAAUUUGUUUGUGUUAUGAACUAAAAAAUUUAUCUUGAAAGGUUUAGAAGUUCUUAGGACUUAGCCUCAUUCUUAUUUUAGAUUCAUGUUAUUUUUUUAUAUUCAUGCUAUUUAGAAAUAUGGUUGCUCAUCUUUUAAAGCUCGUUUUUCUUCUAAGACGUAGUUUCUUGUUACCACUCAUGGGGUUUAAUUAUUUAUUUAUUUUGAAAGCAUAUUGGCUAGUUUGGGAUUCAGAUCUCCUUAUUAAAAUUCAUGUUUGAUCUUUUAUAUUUGAAAGCAUGUUAUUUGUUUGCAAUUCAGCUAAAAUUCAUGAUAUUAGUUGUUUAUUUUUCAAAGAUUGAUUUUUAGAAAGAGAUUUUUAGAAAUUGACAUUUUGAAUUAAGUCAAAAUCUCUUCUUUUCUUUCAAAAAAUGAAUUUUUCUCCAUAAAUGAUGUGGCUCCUUGAUCCCAAAUGAAAGGUAGCCAAUAAGGCGAUCCAUGUUGAUAAUUCUUUUGUUUUCAAAUCCCUUUUAAAUUAGAAAUAAAAUAAAAUAAAAUAAAAUAAAAUAACUCCAUUUUGUGUCCAAUGUUUUGGAUUUAUCAAAUCACAUGGUUUGAUCUUUUGCUUUCCUAAAAUCAUUCUCAAAGGAAUUUAAAUAUUAAAAAAAAAAAUCCAUUCCCGGUUUUUAAGGCCAAUAUCUCACUUUGUUUUAAAGAAAAAAAAAUAUAUAUGUAACUUAGUUUUAUCCAAAUUGCAUUCCUUUUUCUUAGUUUUCUAAAACUUUAUUUUCUUAACAUAGAUUUGAACUUGUGUUCCCAAGCUAAUAGGAAUACACAGGUGAAUCUUAUGAAUAUUAAUUGGGGAUUUGAUGGGACCCCAACAUAAAAGAAUCUUUUCAAAACUUAUUUUUGUUGCCACUUUUGCUACUUGUUAUAAUCAUAACCAUCAAUUUUUUAGGAAAAUUAUGCAAGAUGUAUGUGAUAAUUGAUGACUUUGAAUACUCUGAUAAUUUUUGCUACGCUAUUUAGAUACCAAGCAUGCUAGGAUUUCUUUUUUUUAUUAUUUAUUACUAUAAUUUUGAUCUAACCUUCCAUGUCUUGUGAAAACACACUAUAAGUUAUCUAUGUUAUUUAGGUACUCAUCUUACCUUCACAUUUUAAUUUCAUAAAUUGUGUAUUACUUUAUAUAUGAUCAUUACCUAUUGCUUCGUAUGUGAUUGUCAUGUUUAGCAUAUCUUUUUUUAUUGUUUGUUUGACUUGUCAUGUUUGAUUAAGAGACUAAGGUAAAACGCAUGAUAUGUGUUUUAUUUUCUAAACCGACCAUUGAUGUCAUGUGAUAGUGCUUAAGUUGCAGUUCAGGUAUGCAAUACAAUCAUUUCUUUAUGAUUGUGUUUUGAAUUCUUGUUUGGCUUGCUAGUGUUGAAAGAUUUUAAAAAUCACCUUAGUCCGUCUAAGUAUCCAUAAUCAACUAACUAAUUGUCAUAUUUCCAUCAACUUAGCUAGUAGAGAGACCUCUCUAUGGAUUAGAAGGGUGCUACCUCUUUGGAGGUAUUUUCUUGAUAGGUAACUUGAUCCCCGGAUCCAAACUCGAGUUUUUCGUAGACAGCUUUUCCAAAAGCUAGGAAUCAUUUUUAAGGGUUUUGUUCUUACUUGAUUUCCCCUUUUUAAAAUAAAUAAAUAAAAGUAAGUGGUAACUCCAGUUUUUUUUUUCUCUCGUAAAAUACAAUUUUUCCUUAAACAAAAGUGAGUCUUAUCAAUUGAGUGGGGAUGUAUUGUGAAAAAUGUGGGUCCACAACAACCCUUCAAAUGAUGUGUCUAGUAUUUUAAAGACAUCUCUUCUAAAGGUCACCUUCAAAUCUAUAAACAAACAUCUCUUCUGAAUUAAUAUUCAUCCAUUCUCUCCAUUCUUUCUCCUUUAUUGUCAUUCAAGUCUCCUUAGCUUCAAGUCUAGUCAUUUCUCUUCUUUUUUUUACCAAAUAUUUGGUGUACAAGUGAGUACAAAUCACCAAGUGAUUCACCAUUUUUUUUAGUGAUUUGAAGUGUUACUAUCACAAAAAAGUGAUCAUUGUAACCUAGGAGACAAUUGUCAAUAAACCAUAAGCACCUGAAUGGGGCAAAUUCAUCUUAAGGACAUAAAGUCAACUUUAGCCUUGAUCAACCUUAUUUGUGACUUUCAGUUUUCUACAUAUUUUAUUUUAUUUGUAUAUUUACUAUACACACUUAUUAUCCCUAUAUUUUCAGUGAUCUGGACUACAACUUUUAGUAGUAAAUCGAGAUUUCUUCUCCAAACAGGAUUUUAGGAGAAGAAAUUAUGUUUAUGGAAAAGUUUUUACUAUAGAAAAUUAAAUUUAAUGUAGUAGAUCUUGACUUAUCGUGUUUGAAAGCUAUGAUUAUUGAUUAAAAAAAAUUAAUGUUAUUUUUCUUUUAAUUACAAGUAUUUUUUAUAUAUAAAGUUAAUAUUUAAGUAUAAAACCUUUUAGAAAUGUCAACUCAACUCUAUUUAUGGAAUAAUUUUAAAUUUUCCUUUUAGCAAAAGUUGAAAUAAACGUAAAAUAACUACUUUUAUUAUAAGUUGAUUUUAUGUUUGGAAUAGAAUGCUUUUAUUCAAAAUAAAGAAUAAUUAAGAUAUUUUUAAAUUUUAGUUAAAUAAAACUUGUUGAAUACACCAAUAUUUUCUCUCGUUACACCCAUCUUAUUUUUAAUUUUUUUUUUAGUAAAAAUGUGAAUGUCUUUUUCUUCAUCAUCCUUUUGACACUCAUGUCUCAAAUCUUAAUUAGCUUUCUUAUUCACUUUUCUUCCCCUUUCCUUUAUUUUAUUUCAAUUUUCCUUUAACUAAAAUAGAAAAACAACUAGAAAAAUAAUAGUUGGUGUGCAACCAUGACUAUUGUCGGUAUAGAUAGAAAAGAAUUGGUGGAUUAAAUAACCACUAAAUUAAUCAUCAAAACUUUAACUUUAACUUUUUAACUCAAUAAAAUUUAGACUUGACAAACAAUGAGUCAUACACAUUGAACGAAUGUUAUGCAAUUCACAAAGCGAUAUAUGACCAAAUUUGAAAGGCUACAAAAUCAAAUCUUGUAAAAUAAAAAUAAAAUAAAAUUUUUAAAGUAAAAAAGAGAAUUAGAAAAAUAUAUUCUCUUGCUAGUAAAUUUCUGAAAUGAAAGAAACAAAUUGCUUAAUUAAAUCAAAAGCGAAUUGUAAAGAAAUAUUCUCUUGUUGAUAAAUUUUUUAAAUGAGGGUACACAAAUUGCUAAAUCAAUCAAUCAAUCAAUCAAAUUCCUUAAAUUGAGUAACCAACUACUGGGGAUUCCAAAUUUAAUUUCUUAACUUCACCUAUAAAUAAAAAUCACCUUCUUCAAUAUAGGAGAUUAAAAAAAUAAAUAAAUAAAUAAAUUUCAGAAGAAGCCAGAGAAAAAAGGAUUCUCAAGGAGAAAAAUGUUUCACAAUAUACCCCCUACAAGUCCAAGAAAAGCACAUGAAAAACUAUGUACAUACUUUUCACCAUUCUCAAAGUUCAAUAGUCAUUUAGAAAACAAGAUAUGCAAGACUCUCAAUUGAACUUUAAUUUCAAAGAAAUACUUACAUCGUCAUUCAUUAGAUUGUGAUUAAAACAAUCAAAUCAGAGGAAAAUUUUCUUUACAAAGAAUAUUAUAAUAGAAAAUUGUACCUCAUAAAUUUUUCUAAUUAGGAAAAUUUAGGUAGGUGUAUUUAACAACUCUUUAAAAAAAUAAAUUUUAUCCCUAAAAAAUUAAUAUACAUUUAUAGGAGCACUAAGUGACAAAAUUCGAAACUAAUGGAGAUUUAAUGCAAUGUUAUGAAGAUUAGACCGAACGAGGACCGGAUUGGUCUGGUUCACCACAUCAAGCCACAAAUGAGUUGAAUCGGCAUUAAAUCGGUCCAACCACUAGGUGAGUUAGCUCAACCAAUUCAAGAGCUACACUUUAUUCCCUUUUUUUCUUUUCCAAAACUCACCUAACCGUCCAACACAUAUAAGUCCAUAGUCAAUUUGCAUGAAUGACAAGUUUAUAUAGCCUACUUUUGCUUCAUGCUUUUUCGAUGUAGAAUCAAGUGAAUUUUUGUUUUUGGAGACUAAAUGUCAUGACCAUGGGAUUUGAACAAAACAUGGAACACCCAAGUUAUCCUUACAUGUUUGCAAAGAAAAACAUUCGAAAGCUAUAUAUACAUUAUUGAAAAUUUUAAAAUGAAUAUAAAUAUUUAUGAUUUAUCUAUAAUAAAUAUGGGAAUAAUAUAAAUAAAAAACUAAUAAUUUGAAGAUAAUAAAAUGUAUAGCUAUUGAAAUCCAAACAAAUUAAAAUAAUAAAAUCCUUUUAUCUUAAUAAAUUAAAGUUACUUAUUUAAUAAAAAAAAAACUAAUAAUUUAAUAAAUCAUUAAGUUAUCGUUAUCAUAUUUUGAGCUAUCAAUAUUAUCAAUAAUAAAAUGAUGAAAUGUGUUUAAAAUUUAAUUACUUAUACAUUUUCUUAUUUCAUAUAAUUGUUUUUAAUUUUAUUAAUAAUGCAAUUUAUAUAUUUAUGACAUCAUUGGUUUAAUAAUUUCAACCAUCGAUCUAAUCGAUGAAUUAUGAAUUCGAUAACUUUUAUAAUUUAAUGAUCAAUCCAAUUUUGAAAACAUUAUUUUAAUGUAUGUACACUAAACCUUAGGGAAUUUGAUUGAAAUUAACUCAUACAAACAAUUUUGUUUGUAUAUAUUUCUAGUUCUUUUACUUAUUUUUAUGGGAGAAUUAUCUUUUGGGGGUAGAUGGGCCCCCAAAUUAACAAAAGGUCCAUGUAACUCUUCAAAUUGAGUUGAAGGAUAUGAAAUAGUAACGGACAAAUAUACCCUUUAAGAACACAUAUAAAAUAUUUUAUAAAAUUAAGUUAAAUAAUUCUUUUUCAAUAAUUUUUUUUUUCAAAAAUACUAAAUUAAAUAAAAGUAGUUUUCAAAAAUAUUAAAUUAAUUUUUUUUUUCAAAAAUAUUAAAUAAAAUAAAUUUAUUUUUAAAAAAUAUUAAAUAAAAUAAAUUUAUUUUUAAAAAAUAUUAAAUUAAAUAAAAGUAUUUUAAAAAAUAUUAAAUUAAAUAAAAGUAUUUUAAAAAAUAUUAAAUUACAUAAAAGUAUUUUUUAAAAAUAUUAAAUUAAAUAAAAAAUAUUAAAUUAAAUAAAAGUAUUUUUCAAAAAUAUUAAUUUUUUUUCUCAAAAUCAACAAAUGAUAUUUUUUGAAAUACUGAAGGAUGAUAUCCUUCAACUCAAUUUCCAUACUUUCAUUGGGUCUUGGGCUCAAUUUAAAGAGUUAUAUGGACCUUUUGUUAAUUUAGGGGCCCAUCUACCCCCAAAACAUAAUUCUCCCAAUUUUUAUAGGACUUUCGAAAUUUGCACAUGUAAUUGCCAUUGAUAGCAUUUGGAUAUGCAUUCUAAUCUAUUGUUCAUGCAUGACUAAGCAAAUAACCUUCGCCACUGUAAACAACCAUGAUGUGAGUACCAACAAAGCCAAGUCACUCACCCUCUUCAUAUGGUUUUUAUUUUUUAUUUUAUUUUUUGUUAAUGUUUGGAUAUGGGAAUAAAGAAAAAAAGACAAGGCAUGCAAGCAAGGGAAAGGAAAAGUAAUGGGAGGGAUAUAAGAUUCAUAAUAAUGAUAAGGGCUUAGGUAUGGUACAAAUAACACCUUUUUAGUACCAAUUAGUGGGUGUCACAUGUGCACUGGUUCAUUGCUUUGUUCUUAGCAUCUCAUUAUUUUGUUUUGUAUCCUCCCAAGUUGGAUCAAACUAUGCAUCACUUUCCUCCUCAAGAUAAAAAAACCAAAAGAUAAAAAAGAAUAGGCCGGUUAGGUAAACCUUUCUUCAACAAUCAAGUUAUCCAUGAGGUUAAGUGAAAAAGACAUAAAAGAUGAAAUUGUUUUUGUUCCUUAUUUUGGAAGUGAGAAUUCCUUUUAUAGAUUUAUUUUGGUGUAUUAAUCAUGAAAAGUUAAUAAAUGGAAACAUCAAUUCUAUAUUGUUCCUUAAAUGAUUUCCAUUACGAGUAUCAUAAAGGCUCUAAUCAUUAUGCAAUAAUUAUGGAAUGACAUUUAAGGUUUUGGCCAUUAUGUGAUUAAUCUGUGAAUUGUUGUCAUUACAUAAUUAAUGUAUAGGUUAUCCUUUACACAAGGUCAUAAUUUGCAAUAGUGAUCAUAUUUUAUGAGUGGUAGUCAUUCCUGAAUGUGAUCAAUGCUUUUUGUGACGUGAUGAUGAUAAUGAUCUAUUUUUACGGUGAGGUGGGUCUCAUGGGGACUCUUGACAAGCAUUAUAUGGAGGUAGCACAUUGCUUUUUUGACUUUGCUACAUGACGAAGGAUUUUCAUAUCCCUACACUUCCUAUUUUACAUGUGAACUAAUUAUUUUAUAUUUUAGUUCCAUUAUUUUGUAGUUUAGUCUUAUUACAGGCAUUACAUUUUAAUCUCAUUGAUCUAUAUAAUGGUUCCAUGUGUUUAUAACAUGGGUCUUUAUACUUUCAUUUAGUGACUCAGAUUUUAUUAUAUACUUAAAUGAUUAGGAUUAAAAUUUCAAUAUCAUAUCAAAUAUAAACCCAAUAUAUUUCUUUUUUUAUAAUAAUAAAUUUAUUGAAGAAAGGUAUGAUUGAAUAUUAGAGAUUGUGGCUUUCAAGUUAACACUAAAAAAACUACGCACAUAGAUGAUUUUAGUGUUAAAAAACUUGAGGAGAAUUAUUUCCAAUUGGUGACAUGUGUUAGGUAUAAAGUUGCCUUUAAUAAGAUUGAUAACUACAUUACUAAAAUAUAAAACCUUAUUGGUAAUAAUAGUAAAGGAUUGAUUAUGACACUAACUACUACUUUUUUGGUAUCAUAUCAAAAAGUUAUCAUCAACUAAGGGUAUCAAAUGUAUGCAUGUUGAUCCUAUUACUUUGUACUUGAUAUCUAAUUAGUUAUACUUUAUAUACAUAAUGAUCGUAUUGGUUUGUAUCUUGGUUCAUUACUUUUCAACAUAUGAUACCUAGAUUUCAUUAUUUUAUACUAAACAUUUCAUUGUAUUAUACCAUAUAUGUGAUCUCAUUGAUCCAUACCUUUAUUCCAUUAUUUUGUACCAUGUGAUAGCUCGGAUCCUUGCUUUUGCUAUAUAUUACAUGUGACUUUGGUUCCAUUAUUUUGUAUUCGAGUGUUUUAUUAUUUUAUAAUUUAUAUAUAAUUUUAUUGUUUUCUACCUUAAUUUCACUAUUAUUAACCAUAAAUAACAAUUUCAAUAAAAAAAAGUUUUCUAUGAUAUGGGAUGUAUAUUAUAUAUUAAAUUUAUCAUUUAUGGGAGAUAAUUGCCCCCCAUCUAACGCUCAAAAAAUUAUGCAUAUGAAAGAUUUUAGUGUCGGAAAAGUAGAGAUUUUUUUCUAGAAUUGGGUCAAAAAGGUAUAUGUGUGACAUUUAAAUUUGUCUGCUUAUAUGAUUGAGAUAAGAACAUUUGGAAUUAGAGAAUUAGUCGAUGUUCAAUUAAUAAUGCAGCAGUGAUGAAAUUCAGUGGAAUUAAUUUAGAUACUAUUGAAUGGACGUCUCACAAAGUGGACUAAAUUUUAUCAAUUUGAUUGAUUUGAAAAAUUCAUAUGUUUAAAAUCAUUCAACAUUCUGAGAAUAAUUCCUUUUUCAAUUAAAAAUUGUCUGCUCCACACGAAAAGACAAACUUGGUUUUGGUCUCUUUCCAAAGUAGAAAUAAUUCCAUAAAUAUUGAAUUAUAUUGUUUACUAAAGAGAAUUGAAGAGAUCAAAGAAUGCCAACCAAAAACAAAAAAACAAAAAAAGACAAAUAUUUGCACGGAAAAGUCCAUGCAAUAGUACUCACGCCCACAGCCUAAGACUUCAACAUCAGAGAUAUGAAUAUUCUAUAUUCUAUGUCGGCCAUGACAUCACCUCCAUUCUUCUUCUCCAAGCUAAAACCACAUAGUGAAGAUCUAUAUAUAUAUCUGAAUCAUCCGGUGUUUAAUUCCACUGAAAAUAAGAAAAUUUCUUAGAAUUUUCUCUGUGAGCCGUAGUAUUAGCUAGUGAUGGUGAAGAAAAUAGAGCUUAUUUUUGUCUCUGUCUCAGCUAUAGGACAUCUUGUAUCAGCUGUGGAGUUUGCUAAGCUUCUUGUUGGUAGAGAUGACCGCUUCUCAGUCACUCUACUCAUCAUGAAGCUACCUCUUGAGGACUCUGCGGUAACCAACUAUAUCCAUUCAGUUUCUGCUUCCGUUUCCGGGUCCAUUCGAUUUGUCCACCUUCCUGAACUCGACUCAGAUUCAUCCAAUUCCCACCCAUCAUCGUCAUCCCCUAAUAUCUUCUAUAAUAUCAUUGCAAGGCAGAAGCCUCUAGUGAGGGAUGCAGUCCACCAGCUCACUCGGUUUGAGUCGGGUCGACUCGUUGGGAUUGUGGUCGAUAUGCUUUGUACUGUUAGAUUAAUUUUUGUAAUUAAUCUAUAAUUUGGGCCACACAUGUAAAUAAUUAAAAUGUGUGUGCUAUCAUUUAAUUAAUUAAGCCUAAAUAUAGUGAUCUAAUUAAUAAUUGAUUAAUUGGCUUAAGGGUAUAAUUGUCAUGAGAUUAUUGUGUAGAUACCAUUAGAUAAUUAUUAUUUCUAUGAGGGGCAGAAAUAUAAUUGUGAUAAAAUUAAAACUGCCCUAGCGGUUUAUAAAUAGGGUUAUGGUCCCCAUUCUACGACUACGCAUUCCAAUUUCUGAAAAUCCUCUCAGUGAGAAAUUGACACAAAAUCUAGUGGCUAGAAUUGGAAGACCAUCUCAAAGGGUUUUCUUCCUAUAAGGUUUCUCCUUCAAUGGAUUCAGGUAUGCUUCCGCUAUUAUUUUUUCUACUCAUUGUUUUUAAUCAGGAGAUUCCAGUAUAUAUGAAAUUAGGGUAUUCACCUUGUUAAAUAUUCCAGUAUAUAUGAAAUUAGGGUAUUCAUCUUGAUUCAUUUUAACAUGUACUUCCAUGAUAGAUGUAGCUAAUAAAUUGGGUGUUCCUUCCUAUGUGUACUUCGCCUCCAGUGCGGCCUGCCUUGCUCUCAUGUUUCAUCUUCAAACCCUCAAGGACCGCCAGGGCGUGGAUGUUACUGAGUUUGCUAACUCGGAUGCUAAGUUGGUGGUCCCGGGUUUUGUCAACUCGGUUCCUGCUCGAGUCUUGCCUGCUACGGCGGUGGACAAGGAGGGUGGCGGAUCCAUGGAUUUCCUCGAUCGGGUAAGGAGCUUUAGAGAUGCCAAGGGUAUUUUGGUAAAUACAUUUAUGGAGCUAGAAUCUCAUGUGAUUAACUCCUUUGUCGAUGGUACAACUCCUCCCAUUUACACAGUAGGGCCAUUAUUGAACUUACAACAUGCCAACAAACAAAAACAAGAUAGUGACUUGGAUGUCAUCCAAUGGCUUGAUGAUCAACCCACAUCAUCUGUGGUGUUUUUAUGUUUUGGCAGCGCUGGAGCAUUCCACAUGGAUCAAAUCAAGGAGAUUGCAAUUGGGCUUCAGAAUAGUGGGCAUCGUUUCUUGUGGACACUCCGACAACCUCCACCAAAAGGUAAGAUGGCAAUACCUAGUGAUUAUGUGAAUUUCGAGGAAGUAUUACCUGAAAGGUUCUUAGAUCGUACAUCUAAAAUUGGAAAGAUAAUUGGAUGGGCACCACAAGCAGCUGUUUUAGCUCACUCUGCAGUAGGAGGGUUUAUAUCUCAUUGUGGGUGGAAUUCUAUAUUAGAAAGCAUAUGGUAUGGUGUCCCAGUAGCUACAUGACCUAUGUAUGCAGAACAAUAAUUGAAUGCGUUUCAAAUAGUAAGAGAGUUAGAAAUGGGGGUAGAGAUUAGAUUUGAUUAUAACAUGAAUACUAGUAAUCUUGUAAGUGCUCAAGAAAUUAAGAGUAGAAUAAGGAGUUUAAUGGAUGAUAGCAACAACAUUAGAAUGAAAAGGGCAAAAAUGAAAGAAAAGUGCAUGAAGGCCUUGACAAAAGGUGGAUCUUCGGACUCUAGCAUACAACGUCUAAUUGGAGACAUGAUAACUAAUAUCUCAUGAAGUGAAUGCUAAAGCAAUGUAUUAUAAAAAAAAAGGUUCUAAGUCCUUAAAAAUGUUUGUUUCAAUUGCUUUUAAUAAUGUAAUGGUUGAGUGUCAUAGAAAAGUUGAUUAAAAAAUUAAGUUGAAAAAAAUGUAUUGUCUACUUAUUUUAAAUAAAAAUAAAAGUAGCAUAUGUUACAUCUUGUGUGACAUCUUUAUUUUAAUAUUAGAUGAUGUAUCAAAUCCAAAUUGUAUGGGAAUAUAAAUAGAUUUUAGGCUUUCUCAUCUUAUAUGUCUUGUCCUUGUAAACCCCCAUACGAAAUGAUCACGUCCCAUUGCCAUUUUCAUUCAAUUUGGUGUUUAAUUUUGUUAUUAUUAAUCGUAAGAGGUUAGUUUUACCCAUCUUCCUCACAUUUGAUUACAAAUAUUUGAAUUUUCAAUACCUAACCUUUUCCCAUGUCAUUUGGGAGUGGUUAUUAAAGGAUUAAAGUAACUUUGUCAAAGUAGUGGUUGUGAAAUGACAAAAUUUUGGUUUUAGUAAUAUAAUUUUGUAGAUUUAGAGGGUAUUUGGUAAAUUAACUUAAUAACUUAAAGUAACUUGAUAACUUAAUUUAAGUUAUUAAUUAAAUUAAGUAUGUUUUGUAAAAUAAUUUAAUGAUAUGGCUUAAAGUAAAAAACAACUUUAAGUAAUAAGCAAAAUAAUUAAAUUAUUUUUAAGUUUAUAUCCUCAUUUGACAUUUUUAUCCCCAUUUACCCUAAUUAUCUCCACAAUCUCUUUUACUAUUUCACGAUCUUCAUUGUUACUCGACUUCCAUUUCCCUAAUUAUAAUUUCUAAGAAUAAAUAUGUUAAUUUAAUUAUUUGAAAUAAAUUUUAAAUUAAUUUUAUCAAACAAUCUUAAUAAUUAAAGUAAGAAUUAAGUAAUAAGUUUUAAAUCAACAACUUAAAUAUAAUUUAACUUAAAAUCAACUUAAAUUAUUAAGUAAUAAGUAUUAAGUUUUACCAAACAUUCCCUUAGGUGGUGUUUGUAUUUUUUUUUUUACUUAAUUAUAAAUAGAAUUAAAAAACUAAAUAGCGUUUAAUAGUAUUAAGUAUUAAGUUAUUUAUUUUUAUAAUAUUUUAUUUUUAUUAAGUAUUUAAAAAUAAAGAAAAAACCAACAUAUUACUUUUUCUAUUUAGAAAAAAUUAAAUAUUUUGAUUUUUUUUACUCAAAAAAAUCUAUAAUAAGUCAUAAAAAUAGAAAAAUAACCCUCUUAGUUUAUAUUAAUUUCUUCUUUAACUUAAAUGAUUUUUUUUUUUUGUAGUUUUUUUUAGUGACUUUUAAAAAAAAAUGCAAAAAUGGACUUUUUGUGCUUAAGCUUUUCAAAUUAAUAGAUAUUUUUAUUAUUUUGUAUUUCAUAUUAAUAUAAUUAAAAAUAAAAAAUUGUUAAAAUAUCUCACGUGUAUAAAGGAAAUGAAUCAUGGGUAGAAACAAAUGGAAUUAUGCUAAAAUAUAAAUAAAUAAAUAAGAUAUUUUGGUUAUAUUGUAUUUUUUUUAUUGAUCACCAAUUUUUUAAACAAGAUCGGGAAUUGCAUUUUAGUCUCAUAGAAUGGCCCAAAAAGAUUAUGACACAUUGCAUAAUAAAUAGACAAAUGCAUUACGUGUGAGGCUGGUCCCAAAGGUGAUGGGGGUUGGGUAGAAUAGGACUUGCAUGUGACACCCAAAUAUCAUAUUCCCAAAAUCAGAAAAUAAAUUCCCGAAUCAAGGGAAACACUAUGAGAGAUAUGAGAGAUGAGAGAAUGGAGAAGAAGAAAGAGCAACGAAGGUGUUCUGCUACUACUGCGAGAGGGAGUUUAAGGACGAGAAGAUUCUUGUUCAGUACCAGAAGGCCAAGCACUUCAAGUGCCAUGUCUGCAACAAGAAGCUCUCCACCGCCUCUGGCAUGGCCAUCCACGUCCUCCAAGUCCACAAGGAAACUAUCUCCAAGAACUUUUGCUUGUCAUUUGCAAUUUUUUUUUUAAGACAAUUUCCAUUCAUGUGUGGGAUUGUUGGAAUUUAUAUUGGUGAAUGGAAAUUAGGAUUUUUUUUUUCUCAGAAGACAUGUUUCUUAAUAGACACAACUUAUUUUAAAGGAUGUGUCUUGUAUUUAAAAGACACAUCCUCUUCCAAAGGAUUUGUUUAACGUCUUAAGACACAACUAUAAACCCUCUAAUUUGUCUUCUUAGCAUAUGUGACACUAGGUGUCUUCUCAUACUCCUCUCUUGACUCGUAGACAUCCCUUAGUGGCCCAUCGACAAUUAUAUAGUUUCAUUUUCUAAACCACCUUCAGGGACCCUUUGUUGAGGUACUCAUUCGGACCUACAUUGUGACCUUGGCCAUCCUUUGUCCUUAGGUUAGAUCCCACUUAGGUUCACCUAGGCCCUCUUAGAUUUACUAAAGCCCACCUUGGCCCACCUUAACACACCUCAACCCAUGUUGGUCACUUUUAGGUAAUUCCUGCAUGACUUACGUAGUUCGCAUGAUUUGCAUUUUUAACGCUCAAAUAUACUUGAUUUUCUUAUUUAUUAAUUUUUCUAUUUAUUUAUUUAUAUUUAAUAUUAUUUUUUUAGUUAUUUGUUUAUUUUUCUUUAUUUAUUUACCUAUUUUCAUAAAAUAGCGUGUGGUUGGUUAUCUUGUCUCUUUUAUUACCAUGGGAACUCGGGUUAUACCAUGGGAAAUCAAGUUACUAUAAGAAGAGUGUAAAUGUGAAGUUGUGUUUGACUUAGGUGGUGUUUGUUUUUUUACUUAAUUCUAAAUAGAACCUUAAUACUUAAUAGUAUUAAAUAUUAGGUUGUUUGUUUUUAUAGUAUUUUAUUUUUAUUAAGUAUUAAAAGGUAAAAAAAAAUCAUUGUGUUAUUUUUUCUAUUUAGAAAAAGCCACAUAUUUUGGCUUUUUUUAUUUAGUAAAAAGUUUAUAAUAAGUCAUGAAAAAGUAAAAAAACAAACAACCUAAAUUCUAAAACUAAAUGGUUUUCAGCAAAAAGCCAAAAAAACAAACACCACCUUUAGUCUUUCUUUUUUUCCGACUCUUUGGGAAGAGUCCCAUUAGGAGUGUGCUAGUAGAGUCACAUUCCACUUACAAGUAGAGUCUCAUUCUGCUUACAAGUAAAGUCCUAUUUUGAUUACAAGUAGAGUCUCAGUGGGAUUGUGUUAGUGGCCUAUAAAAAUAGGUCACCCCUCACUCUCAAAUAAUUUUUUUUUUUCAAAGAGUUCUUCUAAAACUUCCAGCGUUUUGCUUCCCUCUCCACUCUUUCAUACAUUUAUUUGGAGGAAUUUUUUAGAACCCGAGUUGUACACGUCUCGCCUGUAGAGUGCACCUAAGGCGAGACUCACUGGUACCCUUGUGCAUUGAGUUCAUCUUCGAGAAUGGUGGAUCUAUUUCAAGGAUAGUGUUUGUCACACCUUAGCCUAUCACCGAUAAGUUUCUUGCUAUUCAUUUUGCUCUUUGUUCGUGUGUUUUGGGCUAGUCCUCUAUUUUCAUACCCUUAAAACAACAAUCAUGAAAUAGAUCCAAAUGGAAGCCUCUCUAGUUCACACUUGUCCUAACACCUCUAAGAUUGAUCCCUUCAACAGGACAUUGUUCAAGAGAUGGCAGGAAAUAGCUUUCUCUACAAUUGAUGUAGUGGACUUGGGACACAUUUUGACUGACCCAAAACCAGAAGAUGGUUCUAAAUCGUUGCCUACUUGGGAAAUUGGUAAUAAACAAGUUAGGCAUGAUAUUCUUAGUACCAUUUCUACAUAGUUGAUUCUUGUGAUAUUUGGCAUGGUAGAUUAGGACAUGUGAACUUUUCGUAUAUGAAGAAAAUGGUUGAAUUAAGUUUAAUUCCUAAGCGGUCCUUAGAAAACCUUGGAAAAUGUUAAUCAUUUGUAGAAUCUAAAACCACAAAGAUAUCUUGCAAAUCAGUAGAAAGAGAAUCAAAUCUACUAAGUUUAAUACACAGUCACUUAGGAGACCUAAAAAAUACAAUGACUAGAGGUGGUAAACAAUUCUACAUAACUUUCAUAGAUGACUACUCAAGGUAUACAAGUGUAUAUCUUUUGAGAAACCAAGAUGAAGCAAGAGAUGUUUUCAUCAAGUACAAAAAUGAAGUGGAAAAUCAACUAAGUAGGAAGAUUAAAAGGCUUAGAACUGAUAAAGAAUGAGAGUAUAAGUCCAACCCCUUUAAUUCUUUUUAUGAAGAUCAUGGGAUCAUUCAUGAAACUACUCUUCCUUAUUCCCACGAGUCUAAUGGAAUAGUGGAAAGGAAAAAAUAAAACCUUAAAAGAAAUUAUGAAUGCAAUGUUGGUAAGUUCAAGAGCAUCCUUGAACUUGUGGGGAGAAGCUAUCAUCUCUGCUUGUCAUAUUCAAAAUAGAAUACCUUACAAGAGAAUUGGUAAAACUCCUUAUGAGUUGUGGAAGGAUUAUGCACCUAAUAUAGCAUACUUGAAAGUGUGGGGGUGUUUAGCUAAAGUUCUUUUCCUUGAACCUAAAAAAUGAAAACUAGAAAAUGUUCAUUGGUUAUGCUGAGAAUAGUGUGGCAUAUAGGUUUCUUGUUACUAAGUCAAAAAAUAGUCUUGUAGAUGUCAAUACCAUAAUAGAAACAAAUAAUGCGGAUUUCUUUGAAAACAUCUUUCCCAUGAAACUAAAUAGUGAACAGCAAGUUCAGAAAAGAAGUAGAGAUGAGACUAUUGAACCUUCUAAAUUUGAACCUAGAAGGAGUAAAAAAGAUAAGAAACAAACAAACCUUAGAGAUGGUUUUUAAACCUUCCUAAUGGAUGAGGACCCUAGAUCCUUCAAAGAAGCUAUAACUUCUCCUGAUGCACCAUUCUGGAAGGAGGCCAUUAAUAGUGAAAUUGAAUCAAUCAUGUAUAACCAUACAUGGGAGUUAGUAGAUUUGCCUCCUAGUGUAAUGACUAUUGGUUAUAAGUGGAUCUUUAAAAGAAAGUUAAAACAAAAUGGGUCCAUAGAGAAGUAUAAAGCUCGUUUAGUUGCCAAAGGCUUGAACAAAGGAAUGAUGUAGAUUACUUUGACACAUUUACCCAUGUGACUAGAAUAACGCCAAUUAAAGUAUUGAUCGCUCUAGCUUCCAUUCAUAAUCUGGUGAUACACAAAUGGAUGUCAAGAUUGCAUUAUUGAAUGAGGAUUUGGAAAAGGAAAUUUAUAUAGAACAACCUGAGGGUUAUGUAGUUCCAGGGAAGGAAAAAAAGGUGUGUAGGUUGGUUAAAUCACUAUAUGGGUUAAAACAAGCUCUGAAACAGUGGCACAACAAGUUUGAGCAUGUGUUAGGAACUAAUAGAUAUUCCAUUAAUGAUGCUAAUAAAUGUAUCUAUAGCAAGUAUGAGCAUAACACAUGUGUAGUCAUUUUUCUUUAUGUUGAUGACAUGCUGAUUUUUGGAACUAGCCUAGAGGUUGUGUGUGAGACCAAGAAAUUCCUAGGUUCUAAGUUUGAUAUGAAAUACUUAGGAGAGGCAGAGGUGACUCUAGGAAUUAAAAUAACUAGAACACCUAAUGGGUUAAACCUUUCUCAAGAGCAUUAUACUGAGAAGAUCCUAAGGAAGUUUGAACACUUUGAUUGUAAACUAGUGUCAACUCCUUAUGAUCUCAACUCAUAGCUGAAGAAAAAUAGAUAACAAAAUGUUCCAUAAAUCGAGUAUGCUCAAAUCAUAAGGAGCCUAAUGUAAUAAAUGAACUGUAUAAGACUUGACAUUGCUUAUGCAAUAGGUAGAUUAAGUCAAUACACCCAAAGUCCUAAUCAGGACCAUUGGGCUUCUAUUCGUAGAGUUCUUAAGUAUUUGAAAGGCACCAUUAACUAUGGUUUGUGCUAUAAUGGAUUUCCAAGUGUCCUUGAAGGAUUUAGUGAUGCAAGUUGGAUCUCAGAUUCAGAUGAGAUGAAAUCCACUAGUGGAUAUGAUUUCAUUCUUGGUGGAAGUGCAGUUUCUUGGAAGUCUGCCAAGCAAACUUACAUUACUCCUUUACUAUGGAGACUAAAUUUAUUGCCUUAGAAAAUGCAAGUUCUAAGCUUGAGUGGCUUUAGAAACCUCUUAGCAGAUAUCCCUUUAUGGACGAGACCAGCCCCAUCUGUGUCUAUGCGUUGUGAUAGCCAAUGUACAAUUGCUAAGGAUAAAAGUAAAAUAUUUAAUGGAAAGAACGAGCAUAUAUGCCUAAGGCACAAUAUUGUGCAAGAGCUGCUUGAAAUCAGGGUUAUAUCCUUAGAAUUUGUGAGGUCGGAGUUGAAUUUGGCCGAUCCUUUAACCAAACCACUAAAUAAGAAACUAGUGGAAGAAACAUCGAGGUGGAUGGGGCUUAUGCCUAUUACAAAAGUCAAGGGUGGUGGUAACCCAACCUAUUAAAAUGGAAAUUCCAUAAAGUAUGUUCAUAUGGGUAAUAACAAAUCACUUGUUAACUUGAGGUGCUCUAUCAAAUUUAAUUAUACGAGAGUCUAUCCCUAUGGUGUAGAUAAAGUAUAUUCUUCAUUGACUAAGGUUGAGUGUUUACUCUUAAUGAAUACCAUAUUCCUUAUAGAUGGUAUGUUUAAAUGCAGAGCAUACUUUAUGGAUUCACCUAUAUGAGAGUGGAGGUGGUGUCGCUUCCUAUGAGAACUUAGGCAGGUUCUUUGGAGUUCUCAUGAAUAUCCAGGUAAGGCGCAUGGCCUAUUUGUGCCAACCCAUUAUGUACAACUCGUAGUGUAGUUGAGAAAAUCAAUGUUGAUAAAGGUCCCUUGAGUUACAUCAAGAAACAUUGGUUCAUAGAAAUUCAUUUUUCAUCAUGUUCUGUGAUUCAAUACUUAUUUGUCCUAAGACUGGUUCAUAGCCUUUGGGCACUAAUACUGAUGCAUUGAAUUAUUUUUUCCUCCAUUUUUUUCUUCCAUCACAUCUACUCUCUAUAGGGGAUUGUAUGAAAAGUGUAAAUGUGAAGUUGUGUUUGACUUAGUCUUUUAUUUUUUGUUGACUCUUUGGGAAGAGUCUCAUUGGGAGUAUGCUAGUAGAGUCCUGUUCCGCUUACAAGUAGAGUCAUGUUUUGUUUACAAGUAGAGUCCUUUUUUAUUACAAGUAGAGUCAUGUUCUGAUUACGAGUAAAGUCUUGUUAGGACUGUGUUAGUGGCCUACAAAAGCAGGUCACCCCUCACUCUCAAAUAAUUAUUUUUUUCAGAUAGUUCUUUUAAGCCUUCUAAUUUUUUGCUUCCCUCUCCACUAUUUCAUACAUCUAUCUAGAAGAAUUUUUUAGAACCCAAACUAUACAUGUCUCGCCUAUAAGGUACACCCAAUGAGAGAAUCACUAGUUGUUGAAUCCUGAAGGUAGGCCACUGCUACCCUAGUGCACCGAGUUUGUAUUCGAUGAGGGUAGAUCUAUUUCAAGGACAAUGUUUAUCACGCCUUAACCUAUUACCGAUAAGUUUCUUGUUAUUCAUUUUGUUCUUUGUUUGUGUGUUUUGGGUUAGUCCACUAUUUUCAUACCCUUAAAACAAUAGUUACUUCAUGGGAAAGAUAGGAUUAUGACUUGAAGGAAGUGAGAUGAAGAAGAUGUUGGAAGAGGAAAAGAUUUUUGGAGGAAAAUGACAAUUGUAUUCUUUAGGGAGUCGCGCCAUCAAUAUGGGAAGAUUGAGUUUCCAUUGAAAAAAACAAAGAUAAAAAAAUAUUUAAGAAAAAUGAUCAACAAAGACUGCUAAUUUGAUUUUGAGGGUCAUUUUACAAUAGACCGAACCAUCUAAUAACCCUUUUCUUCAAAAAAAAGGACAUCACCUUAUGACCAUACUAAAUCCAACAUUGCCAUUUAGACCACAAGGAUGUUUGUUUGCUAUUUGCACCAUAAAAUGAUGCAUGAAGUUGUAUCGUGCACCAUUUUGUGAGUUGCAAACCACAUUCUGGUAAGUUAAGAGUAAAUAAUCCACAUCAAAUUUUGGAAGCCAUGACAUCUGGGGGCUUAUUAAUACUUGAGAGGAACCUUUUCGACUUUCCGACAUCUUUGAUCAUUUAAUCCAAAUAAAAGUAAAAAAAUCAAAGAUAAUUAGCGAAUAAGGUUGUGAUAUGGUGCCUAAUUUCGGGUGUAAUAACCUUAAUUUUGAGUUAUAUAUCACAUUUGAUCGUCAAAGACAUGAGCAAUAGAUAACGGGGGUUUAGAUUCUUCCAUCCAUAUACCAAUGAUGGCGGUGAUGGUGAGAGGGUCUUGUGGCGCGCCGUCAAAGCCAUCCAAAAAGAAAGCUCCAACCUAGACUACAUCAUCUACACUGAUGACCAUGAUACUUCUUCUAACAGCUUGAUGGCUUGUGUCGUUCAACAUUUUGGUGGAGUUUUCAAGGUGAGGGUUGAAAAACAGGUUUGAGCGUGUUGGAAAAGAGAUUCAAAGUGUUGGGAGGAUUUUUCAAAAAAGAGAUCGCACACAAAGGAUGGUCCUCUUUCUAGUUGAGAGAACGACGAGCUGAAUUUUUUAGGAACAACAAUCAGAAUUUUUAGAAUGGUGGAUGUUCAGAAUUUUUUUUUUUUUUAUGGGAUAACGAUCAGAAUUUUUUCGAGGACAUCAAUCAAAAUUUUUGGAGAGGAAGAUGCAACAAAGAGCCAUUAUCCUAGCGCUCACCACCAAAAUUGUAGAACCAACUCACCAUUGACAACUUUUCUCUAUCUUCAUGCACAGGUUGAUCAAUUGACCAUUGGGACACUCUCUCUACGAGAAAACCAAUAGAACCAAUUGUCAUAUUCAUAUGAAAGAAGGUUGCCACAUGGAGGGGCUACCACUUUGAAACCAUUGUCGGCAUUAUUGAUGCUAAGCCAACUGGAGUUAGGUCCAUCUAGCUUCGUUGAAGUUAGAAAAACUUCUUCCCUACUUCGUGACUCUUAAAGAAUCCGUCUAGCUAUACUGGAGUUAGACAAGCUUGCUUCCUGCACAAAAGGAUGUUCGGACGGGUAGUUCAGACACGUCCCUUUGAAGCUAAAGUUAGACAAGAAUAGCUCUAACUAUUUUGUGGGAAAGAGUGAGUGUGUAUGUACACGCGUACCUUGUUCGUACUUUUUGGAGGGUUUAUAUAGAACUGAUGACACUACCACUAUAGUACUGACUAGACACUUUGACCUUCUUUUGUAAUGAUAAUUAUCCUGCGGGCGGCUGGACAAUUAUCAUAGUUAAGGGCAGUUGGCAGGUGCCAUUUGCUGACAUGUCAAGAUCUCAGACCAUGUAGCUAUCUGUCCACUCAGUCUGUCAACGUUUGGGAUUAUGUUGAGUCAUUAAUUGACAUGGACUUGUGGGCUAAAUGGAGUCUUGUUGGCUGCUCAAAUGUCAAGCGUGAAUGAUCAAGCAUGCCAGAGGUCUUUAAGACAUGACUAGACAAUUCUUGCCAUUUGGGAGUCCAGACUCCCAAUGUCACCUGGCCCUAUGGGGGAAAGGAACCCUCUCACUUCUAGUGCCAGACGAAACUUGUCUUGGUCUGGAUGGAACGAUCUGAAUAAGUUACACGUUUGUCCUAGACGGCCAAAGUGUUUGAGCUGGAAAAGGACACGUGGAAAGGGACCCCUCACAAUACCCCCUUAACCUAUCUACCUAUGUUCGAACACCGUCGAGUAGAGGUAGAAUGAGUUACCUAUCUUCUCAGGUUACUUAGGCACUUUAGAACACGUAUCACUUGAAGUAGCAAUGAUGGGUCGCAUCCAUCGAGGCUACCAUUUAGAAGGAGCGCCGCUUUGAGAUAUGUUUCCAAACAACUUGUCUUUUAGGAUUCCUAGGUUUUUGGGUCCUUAUAAAUAGAGGGCCCCCACACCCUUUGGAUUACUUUUUGGUUUUUCCCACUCUAGAGUUUUCUCUUCUUAGUUUCUGCAUCUUCAUUGUCGUUACGCUAGUUGCCGCUCAUUCUCCACUAUUCUCACCGUCAUUCUCAAGCUUGCUUCCGAUGUACUUCCUCUCGCUAGAGAGCACUUACUUUUGACUCUAGUAAGCCUCUUGUCAUUCGCUAUUUUUGUUGUUCACUGUUCAUUUUGGGACUACGUCGACGGUUGUUGAGUUUAGACCAAAAAUAGACCUCGUGGCAUCCAAAUUCUAAGGUUGUCUUAUGUCUUCAUUUUGGAGAAGAUGACUGUAUCGACCAUCAAAUCUAGGAUUUUCUAGAUUUCUCCAUUUUGCUUCCUCAUUGUUAAUACCUUCAAGGGUCGGUUUAGGCAUUUUUUGUCCUGCCACCGUCGUACUAGUAAAAAGGGAGCGUGAUCCUCCUUUUGAUUACUGGUCAAGAGGCUUGCUCUACAAGUUUCAUUAAAAGGUCUGUUUAGACUUGGACUUUUGGUCCAUCUAGGUUUUUUGUUGUAUAGUUGAGGCACUGCAAAACGGCGGAUGGGUCGGGUGACCAUUUCUAAUAACUUUGUUGUCCCACGCAGGUUUCCACGCUGCCCAAAGUUACUCAGCAUGUAGGCAAGAUGAGGUAUUGCUUCCACCAGUGGAGGUGGUAGGCCCUAGAAAGGUGGUCGGAGAGAUACUAGAGUAAAGUGCCUUAAAUCAAAACUUCUAGUUGAUCUUCUGUCCGAAUAGGAGUUUCGGGCACGCUUUCAUAUCUCAGACAAAAUUUCUAUCCACCUAGUAGACAACGAGGCUCUAUCCUCCAAAAACUAGUCCUAUAACUCGAUGUACUUCAGCAAUGAGCAAUUUGUUGUGAGGCUUCAUCUACUUCUUCCCUCAUUCUAUAAGCAAUUUCUCCACUUCACCUAGAUUCCUCUAGCUUUCCUUCAUCCAAAUGUUGUCCGGGUGUUGAUGGGAUGCAGCAUUAUGGACAUGCUCUUCUAGUUGGACCUUUCCUUAAUGGAAGUCUUGUUCAUCUAUACGGUGAAGAUGAGUCAGAAGGAAAGGUUUAGCCUGUCAUCCCACAUCAUUUCCCUCUAGCUAGUGACCGGACUUCCAAACUCAAACAAAGGUGGGACAAAGAGGCAUGUCCUUGUGUCCGGUCCUUGGAGGGAUCCAUUUGAGGGGCUAGACAGAGUCUUUACUCUAUAGCACUCGCUAGAGAUUCCAAGUAGGAUAUGCCUCUAUAACUUUUAUCUAUUCUUCACAAUUAUUUCUUCCUCACUGAGAACUUAUUGGUAAUCUUUCUUUUUGUGUAAUGCAGGCAAGGAUAGGCAAGGUCGUCUUGUAGAGUAGCUGGAUAAAGUUUCCUUCACCUGACUCAACAAGAUAUUCGAGAUAGACGCGUCUGAACGGAAUCAUCAGGUUCUUUUGUCAGACAAGAAUCUAUUAGCUUUGAUCAACGACCCUAAGCUAUUUAUUAUCCCCGUUUUCCCUCACGUGGCUUCCCUGUCUUUGGUGCCCGACGAGCACUUCGUGCUAAAGGACUUGCUCGUUUAUGAGGUUGCUCGUUUGGCAAAUUCAGAGACAAGUCAGGCCCGUCUAGAGUCACGGGAGAAAAAAUUUUUAGGAAAGGACGCUAAGGCAAGCUUCGACUACAAACCGUCCGGCCUCUAGCUCCACCAUCUGGCCUCUUGCUAAGAAUAAGAAAUGACUUAUUGUUUAGCCCAUUCAAAGGGCAUGGACUCCACCACCUGCACCUCCGACUUCUCCAUCAGCUUCAUCCUCAUCUCCUUCUUCAACUGCCAACACCGAGCCAGAGACAAGGGUUGAGCGGUGGUGGCUCCCAUUGUUUGUGAAUAUGAAGAAAAGGUAGACAUGGCUACAAACUUGAGGGCUGGAUUUCAGGAGAGGCAACACAAGCACCUGUCCGAAUCCAUCGUGGUUAACCUUGCUCCCUCGAAGAGAGCCUAUCCGAAGCCUAUCUACCAAGAACUUGUCUCGGCUCCUACCCCGAUGCCAAUGUCUUCAACUACUGCUGCAUAUACCAUUCCUGAAUUGGACGAGAGGCUUCCUUCCACUGAAGGCAUUACUUACCAUGAUCCAAGGAGGCCCUCCAUCGGUCCGGACCAUCUCAGUGAUGAGUCGCUUGAAUACAUGACUUUCUUUCCCUCCCAUCCAAAGUCAUCCUACGUUCCCAGCCGGGAGGAGAUAACUGAGUUAAUGAGGUAGACUCAUUUCUUCACUGAGAGAGAGAAUCCAAUACAAAAUAUGGGAGUGCUCUUUCUGGCCACUCAACAGAUCCCGGUCGAGAUAGAGAGCAAUCUCAAUCAAUCCUUCAUAGCAUGGCUCCCAUUUGGAACUCUAGACACUACCAUUUCUCGUAUCAUGCCCAUGCAAGACUAUACGACUUUUGAGACGACGGAAGUGGUAAGUCGUUUCCCUUUUCUGUUUAUUCUACCUUAGUCUUUGGUUUCUUAAUAAUUUUCUUGUUGCCCCUUUAGGUGAUAGCCGAGGUCUAAAACCUUAUAUGGCAAUGCGCUCAACUCUUCUACCAACUAGAAGCUGCCAAGAUCAUAAAGGCAUACAUUGCCUAUAACAUGGAUGACAAUAAGAAUCUCCACACCAGGUUGGAGACAACAAAGAGUGAGGUCACUACUACCCGAAAGCUCAUUGAGGAAAAAGUUGGGCUGUUGAGGAAGACAGAAGAAGGGAAUGAGGCAACUGAAGCUGAGGCUAGUCAGCUAGCCAAGGAGAUGGAGACGAUGGAGAUUAGCAAGAAGAAGGUCGAUGAGAAGGCUAGACGGCUGAGGUAAGGGCUACAGGAACUCCGGGCCGUGUUCGCUGUUCAAGAGGAAGAGUUGGAGGCUAAGUACCAGAAACAAGUGGACGACAUGUUCUUCUAUGGCUACAGGUGUUGUAUGAAGAAACAUGGUAUCGCCCAAGACACCCCCAGUUUCUUUUGGACGACGAGAAUGAAGCUGCAGGCAGCCCUGCCCAGGGUAGAAGAGAUGCUUUUGGAAUCAGUCCUUCUGGCAGGCAUGCUUGAUCUUGUAUUUGUACGCGUUUAUCCUAGUCGCAUGUGUCUUAGACGAAAAAACUUGUAAAGACGUUGGAUUUUCCAUAUUUUUUAAUAAAUCUAUUUUAUCCAUUUCUUUUCAUACAUUUUACUUUCAUAAACAAGUUUUAUUGAUAAUACAGCUUUAGGUUAGACACAUUCCAAGGGCAGAGUAGGGGUACAUCGUCUAGUGUUUGAAGAUGGUAUGCCCUUGAGUCUUUACCCUUAGUCACAACGUAUGGCCCUUCCCAAUUAGCCUGAAGCUUUUCGGCUCCUACUUCGACUAUGUUCUCGAAGACUCUUCUGAGGACUAGAGUUCAUGUCCUGAAAAAUCGUGGUCGCGUCUUUUUGUUGUAAUGAGAGAUCGCCCUCUAGCGGUAAGAAGCCAUCUGAGUAGCCACGUUUCCUCGUAUUUCAUCUACCCAAUCCAAAUGUUUUCCAAUUUCUUCAUCGUUAUCUCUUUAACCUUGGACGACCGUUUUGGCGGUAGGCAUGCCUAUUUGGGUUGGAAUAACGACUUCCAUUCCAUAGGCAAGGGAGAAAGGAGUAGCUCUUGUUGGCUAUCUAGAUGUGGUCUGAUAAGCCCAUAAGACUUCGAGCAGUUCGUCUACCCAUUUCCCUUUGGCUCAUUCCAAUUUUUUUUUUAGUGUAGCCAAUAGGGUUUUGUUUGUUGCCUCCGCUUUCCCGUUGCUCUAAGGAUAGCGAGGCGUUGAAUAUAGGUUCUUAAUGUUUAACUCCAAGUAGAAUGUUUGGAAGACAAUACUGUCAAAUUAUGAUCCAUUAUCUGCCACAAUCGCUCGUGGGUCUCCGAACUAGCACACGAUGUUUUUCCAAACGACCUUGGAAACAUCAUUGUCCUUGAUGUUGGCAUAGGCUUCUGCUUCUACCCACUUGAUGAAAUAGUUAGUUGCUACAAGUAGAAAUUUCUUUUACGCUGCUGCGACAGGUAAGGGGUCGAUUAUGCCCAUCCCCCACUAUGCAAACGGCCAAGGACAUGUGAGCGGGUUGAGAGCUUUAAAAGGUAUACGGGGAAUGGGGGCAUAUCUUUGACAACGAUCACAUAUCUUAACAUAGUUUCCAACAUCUUGUUUCAUGGUGGGCCAAUAGUAUCCUUACGUGUGAGCACGAUGCGCUAGGGUUCGUCCGUCUGGGUGAUUGCCACACACACCUUCAUGGAGUUCGGCCAUGACAUAUUUGGCUUUUAGAUCGCUCAAACAUCUUAGGUAUGGACCUCCAAAUGACCAUCUAUAAAUAUGGUCAUUGAUGAGAGUGAAGAUGGCAGCCUAUACACAAAGUCUGUGCGCCUACUUCCCGUUUUUCAAGUAAUUCUCCCAUCUUGAGGUAUUUCACAAUAUCCUGUAUCUAACCAAGGUCUGCCUCAUUGGCACUACAUACUGGUCCAGGUAUGAUUGAGGGUGUGGCUUGGAGUUGGACGGGCAGCAUUAUUGCUUCUCUUAUAGGGAGAGUGGCAGCUAUUCCGGCCAGGGCGUCCACCUUCAAGUUCUACUUUUAGGGUACUCGUCUAACAAUCCACUCAUCUAGAUUUUUUAGGCAAUUUUCCACCAUAGCGAGGUAGCGAGCCAUGCACUCAUCAUUUUCUUUGUACUCUUUCUGAAUUUGUCCAAUGAUUAGCUGAUAAUCGCUCCUGAUCUCUAGCCUUGUUGUAGUCAAUGUUAUGGCAAAGUCUAGCCUAGCUAGGACGGCUUCAUUUUCCGCUUCAUUGUUGGAGGCAGAAAAGUAGAGACGGAUGGCUUGCUCCAACAGUUCUUCAGUUGGUGAUUAUAGGAUCAAACUUACUUUAGAAUCGGACGCCUUGGAUGUUUCAUCUACAUGAAGUGUUCACCAUUGCUCCAGGGGACUCAACUAGAUGUGCUAGUUUUUGAGAGAGUUCGGCUAUAAAGUCGGUCAUAACUUGUCCCUUCAACGCUAACCUUGGCUGGUAUUUGAUUCCAUGUUCACUUAACUCAAUGGCCCAUUUCAACAUUCGUCCAGAUAGAUUUAGUUUGUGUAGGGUAACUCGGAGUGGCUGAUUUGUGAGCACAAUCACUUGGUGAGCCUAGAAGUACGGGCGAAGCUUCUAAGUGGCAUUUUUCAGGGCUACGGUCAUCUACUCCAUUCUAGAGUACCGAGUCUCUAUGUUGACCAUUGCUUUACUCACAUAAUAGACGGGAUUUUGCUAUUUGUCUUGUAUGUAUCGAAACAAGACAGCGCUAACUGCACAGUCAGAUACAUCCAGGUACAUAUAGAGUUGUUUAUCAUACUUGGGGCUGCUCUGAAUGGGCGGUUCAAUGAGGUUGCGCAUGACUACUUCAAAUGUCUAUUUGCAUUCAUCCGUCUAGCCGAAUGUGCUUGCUCCAUUGAGCGUGAGGAAGAAAGGCCUCAACUUGUCUGUGAAACAGGCUAUGAAAAGUUGGAAAGCGACUAGACAGCCUGUGAGGUGUUGCAACUCCUUUUUGCUACUCGGGGCAAGUGUUUCAAGGACGACUUUUAUUUUAUUCGGAUUAACUUCAAUUCCUCUUUGGGUCACCAUAAACCCUAGAAACUUUCCUACACAAACGCCAAAAGUGCACUUAGCAAGAUUAAGCUUCAUGAUGUAUGCCCGCAUCAAGCGGAAUGUUUCUUCCAGGUGCUGGACGUGUUCAUCUUGGGUUCCGUUUUCACAAUAAUGUUGUCAAUGUAGACUUCCACGAUUCAAUCGAUCAAGGGCUUAAAGAUCUUCCUUAUUAAUCUUUGAUAAGUAGCACCAACAUUCUUGGGCCUAAAUGACAUGACUUUGUAGUAGUACAACCCAUAUGGUGUAACAAAAACUGUCUUCUCCUCAUCCAGCUAGAACAUGGGAAUUUGGUGGUAUCCGGAGAAAGCGUCUAUAAAGGAAAGCAUCCCAUGCUCGACUGUGGCAUCAACUAUCUGAUCUAUUUGAGGUAACGAAAAAAUAUCCUUUGGACAUGAGUCAUUCAGGUUGGUGUAAUCAACACAAACUCACACUUCCCAUCAUUCUUUGGAAUGACCACCACAUUUGCCAACCAGUCCGGAUACUUGACUUCUCUGAUAAACCCGACCACUAGCAACUUGUCAAUCUCCGCCUGGAUGAUUUUCUGCCUAUCCGGAUGGAAGCGUCGAACCUUUUGUUGGACGGGAUGUGAAGAAGGUAUGACAUUGAGCCUAUGAGAGGCCAUAGAUGGAUGGAUUCCCGGCAUAUCAGAGUGAGUCCAAGCGAAGACAUCUUUGUUCCAUUGAAACACGCUUUCGAGCAGUUCUAAUUCAACCGAUGUGAGCAAGGAGCUAGUAUAGGUGAUUUUACCUGUGUCAUGUGAGAGGCUCAGUGGUUGGAGUGGAUCAGCUGCAGAUGGAUCAUUCUCCACCGAGUUCAAUAAUUGCUAUUGCUCUCUUGUAUUUGAUAAUUUUGGAUGUGCCUCUUCACUAGCUGGGUGUUCAGAAUCUAAUGCACCAAUGAGCUAGCUGGUUGCCAAAAAGGUUAAUUUGUCCAUUCUCAAUGAGGUAGCUCACCAUUUGAUCAUACGUAGAGGGAACGACUUUCAUUCUAUGAAGCCAUGCACAUCCCAUGAUGGCGUUGAAAUGGGACAAAUCCUCGACCACUGAGAAUUGUAUGUUCAGGGUGAUUGAGCUAACCUAGACAGGGAAUACAAUGUUACCCUAAGAAGUCAUCGUGGCUCCAUUAAACCUGGAUAGUAAUCGCCCUAGAUUCUCUAGGGCAGAGAGUGAGUAGUCCAUCUACUUGUAAGCUGACAUUUGUAAGAGGUCAGUUGAGUUACUUGGAUCGAUCAGAACCCUUCUCACGUCGAACCCACUUAUUCCUAGUGUUAGGACUAAGGCAUCUUCAUGUGGUUGCAAUACUUGACUAGCCUUUACAAAAGGAAAGGUUACUAUGCCGUCGACGGGGCGCAUAUUUCCUUCCAGAAAGUUGUGUUGAAAGGUGCUAAUUCUCUAUCUUAUAGAGGUUGUACAAAGCAACCUUUGCCUUUUUUGUUUAAAACUAUAUUUUUCGUCAAUGGGGCCUCCGUGGAUGUAAUUAAUGAUAGCUCUAGGAGUUGUUGAAGAUGUGGGGGCUUGGACGGCUAGGUCUUAGGUCGUCUCUCUUUGCCUGCCAAUUGCACCAACAUAUUGUUUCAGGUGUUCGACCAUGAUUAGUUUUUUCACCAAGUAGUGGAGACUUCAGCAUUGUUCAAUGGUAUGGUCGUGAUCUUUAUGAUAAGCACACAUUUUGCUCCAAUCUUAUUUAGCCGGAUCUAUCUUGAUCGAUUCUGGUCACCUGAAGUCAGACAGAUUGUAGAUCAUCAGGAGGAGUUUCUCAUAUGGGAUAUUGAAGAGGGUCAAACUAGUAUGAUUCUACUACUGUUGGCCAUCUCGCCUCUUGUUAGCUUGCUUCAAUUGUUUUAAGGGCUUAGAACUUCCUGUCUGGUCAUGCCUGGUCGAACGAUUGGUGACCAAGACUUACUGAGUAGCCGCCCGGACGUCAUCUUCAAGCAUGGAGUACUUAUUUGCUCGUUUGAACAAAUCGUCCAUCGUUGUCGGUGGCUUCUUUGCGAGAGACUCAAAGAAUGGUGUGCCUGGACAUAUGCUUGACUUGAAGAUCUGUAGGAUGGCGUCCAUGUUGCAGGAUUCCACCUCGAGAACAGCCUAUCCGAACCAUUUGAUGAAGUCUAUGAGUGACUCGUUUUCCUACAUCUUGAUGUUUUGUAGAGUGUUUAUUUUUUUCUUAUGAUGAGUUGAAUAUAAGUAGUGGCCCAUAAAGGCCUCCGAUAAAUCCCGAAAAUUGUUCACGAAAUUAUUUGGGAGACGGUGGAACCAAGAGAGAGUCUAGUCGUGUAGGCUGGCUGGAAAGAAUUUGCACAACAAUGCAUCAUUCCUUAUGUCCAAAGUCAUGAGCUGCCUGAAGUGCAUGAUGUGAUUGAACGGAUCACUUAUUCUGUUGUAUAUCGUGAAUUUUGGCACUAUGAACCCCCUUGAGGGCUCAUAGUUAAUAAUGUGAAGGUCGAAUGGCAUAGAGAUCAUGUCAUCUAACCGUCGACUACCAAAGUCGGGUGUGGCUCGAUUUGCGGGGGAUCCUCCUUAUUACUGCCUAAGUAGAUGAGAAGGCGACUCCAACAUAAUUGUUGCUACUGAGGGACUUAGACGGGCCUCCAGGGUUUCUACCAUGUCUGGUUUUCCCUCUAUGCCUGGCGUUUGAGGUCUCAAUCGGGCUCGCAUUACAUCUGAUAGACGUGACUAUUUGUCGCACCUCUUCUUUACUGAUACCUAGUUGAGUAGGUGUUUUCGUCCAACUACACCUAGCGAGCUGAUGAAAACUCCUCCUCAAACCAUGUCAUAUGAUGCCAAAUGGGAAAUCUGCAUUCCCGGGAAAAAAUGUCUCAUCAGUACGUCUUGAGGCUGUUCACUAGCUUUGCAGUUUGUCGACUUUGAGAGGGGCCCGCUAAUGACAUUGGGACAUGCAACUCUUCACUCUCUUCUUUGAGUCGCCUUGUUUGGUGAAGCAAAGACUGUAUCUACCGAUCACUCUCUCGUUGGAGUAUUUCCAUACUUACAUGCCAGGCAAAGUAGCUUUCGCUACCCAUAGCUGAUGAUCAGCUUCUAGAGAGUGUUAACUUCCUUAGUCGUUCCCAAAAACGGUGCCAAUGUUGAUGCUAAGCCAACUAGAGUUAGGUUCAUCUAGCUUCACUAAAGUUAGACAAACUUCUGCCCUACUUUGUGCCUCUUGAAGAAUCCAUCUAGCUAUACUGGAGCCAGACGGGUUUGCUUCCUACAUAAAAUGAUGUCCAGAAGGGUAGUCCAAGCACGCCCCUCCGAAGCUUAAGUUAGACAAGAGUAGCUCUAACUAUUUUGUGGGAAAGAGAGAGCGUAUGUACGCGUGUACCUUGUUUGUGCUUUUUGGAGGGUUUAUAUAGAGCUAAUGACACUACCACUAUAGUGCUGACUAGACACUCUGACAUUCUUCUAUAAUGAUGAUUGUCCUGCAGGCGGCUGGGCAAUCAUCACAAUUAAAGGUGGCUGGUGAUUCGUGCCCAACUGGUGUACUCUUGAUUCAGUCCUCAGACGAGAGUUAUCAACAAAAUUUAUAAGCUUAUUUCACCAUAUACUAGGGUAGCAUAGCAUAGUGGUUCUAGGAUCAUUCACUGGGAUGGGUUUUCAUUUCACACCUGAUAUUAGUUUAAAGAAUUGGAUUGGUGCUUUUUCUUUUCCAAGUUAGCUUUAAAAGAAAACAUAAUCUUUGGUUUGGAAAAUGUUGGUUUUAAGCUAACAAAAAAAAAUAGUAAUUGAUUUUAAUUACAAAGAAAAAGGUUUCUUGGAGUUUGAGGUCACUAGAUUCAGGCCCCUUAUACAAAAGUGGAGAUUCCGGAUCUUUCCUCGUAUUAGGGAUUUAACCUAUAGUUAUUCUCCCAAUUGGUGUGUUAUAGUUGCUUUCCAUUGAUGGUUUCAACGCUAAAUCCCUCUCACUGAUGCAUCUUACAAUGGCUCGUACCUCUCACCUAGCAUUUGCCAUUCAAGGUGAUCCUUAAGCUUGGAUUACCCUUCAAAAGCUGGCAAGAGAUAACUAAUGGAUGUCUCCUUAGAGUCCAAAAGCUUACCAAGUGUUGGCUAUUCUAGAAAAUCCUACCUUUAAACAACCUACCAGAGGCUCGCAAGAGAUAAACUAGUGUAACUCAAUGGACGGAGUCCACUUGCUGAUUACUACCAAAAAGUGCUAUUUUGUAGACCUAACUAUAAUGGUUUUAAGCACCUUUGAGUAGUAAUCAUAUUCAUUUAACCCAAUUAAUUCAUUAAGGUCCUUAGUAAUUGGUUUUAACCAUUUUGUGGCAAGUUUACAUGUUUUUAUCAGCUUAUGAAUCAAUUCAAGCAUGCCAAAUGAUGGAGGAGCUACUUGGACAAGUUAUGGUAAAGCUUUUGGAAGCUCAAAUUCAUGAAGAACCAAGCUUUGGAGCUCCAUAGCCCUUUGCCAAAGUCGUUCAAAGUAUGCAAGGAAAGAACAAUGGAAAAGAGGAAAAGCAAGCAAAGUGAAGAGAAGCAAAGAGGACAGCAGCUGCAGUAUUCUUUCACACUUUUGGAGCACUUCCUGAAGUCCAUUUUUUACAUGCUAUAUACCAUUUCAAAGCUCUGGAAGUCAAGAAUCCAACUCUUCAAACCGUGUAUGAUUUGGAGCUGAAAUGAGGAAGAUAUGGCCUUCGGAAGCCAACUGCUCUAGGUUGUACGAAAAUUUCGCACGACACAAGGUGUUAUGCGAAAUUCGCACGACACAAGGUGUUAUGCGAAAUUCGCAUAACACCUUCAAAAUUCACAUAACCCAUGCGUGGUGCGAAUUUUCCUCUGUUUUUGCCAACUCCACUUUAGAUAUUUUCCUUUGUAUUUUGUGAUGUAAUUUCCUUUCUUAUCCUUGUAACUAACCAAUCACAAGUUUUUGCUUUUGUAAAGACUAUAUAAGGGGUGGAAAUCACCUCUUGGAAAAUAUAUAGAACAUAGGUUACGUUUUACACUUAGAGAAAUAUACAGAGCUCUCUCGUUUCUCUUUUCUCUUUACUAUUUUAUUUUCUUGGAAGCCAAACAGCCUCUGAGGGCUUUUCCUCAGAGGAUGAUUGGCUAAAACUUUUAGUUUCUCAAAGUAUGGAUGUUAUGUGAUAGCUUGGAUGCAAUCCCAUGGAAAUUUCUCGCACCUAGAAGGUAAGGUAGACGUUUUUCAUUAAAGGUUCAUUAAUGCAAAGUUUGGUUUUUAUUUCCUUUGGACAACUUCCAACAGCCAAUACUUGAUAAGCUUUUGGAUUUCUAUCCAUUAGUUAUCUCCUACGAGUUAUUGGAAGGUGAGGUUUUCAAUUCCAAGUUUUGCAUUAAUCCAUUAGAACCAAUUUCAAUGGCCAUUGAAAGGUGAGUUUAUCACCUGGAAUGACUUUGAGUUGCCAAUAUUUGGUAAGCUUUUGGCUUUAGACCAUUAGUAAUCUCUUACGAGCCAUUCAAAGGAAGUCUAAGGUGAAUAACCAUUGAUGAAAUUCACUACCAUCUGUUUUGCCAUUUUAAAGGAUUAAAACUUGAUUUGCUAAAUCCAUACCGGUUCGGGAAGCAAGCAUCACCAUAGUUGCAACCCCAACGCGAGGAGCCUAUCCUGAGAUUUCCAAUUUGCAUAAGAGCCAGAGCAUAGCUAUCCUAUCUUUGAGAAACUUGUUUUUACACCCUUUCAUUUUAGUCUUUAAUGUUAGCUUAGAUUAGUUUAAAUCUUUCUAAAACAUUUACAUCUUCUUUUAAAGCUAACAUCCAUAAGAAAAUCACCUAUUUUCCUAAUUUGAAUAUCACUUAUGUUUGCGAAAACUCUUCCCAGUGAACGAUCCUAGAACCACUAUGCUAUAGUAGCUUGGCUACUUUAGUAAUAGUAUUUAAGGUAUAAAUUUUGUUGAUACGCCUUUAAAGCUAAGCUACCAUGAGUCGAAUCACUUGCUUUACCAAGUGUUGGCCCAGGUGAUUUUAAGUCAUUUUAAGUUAACUAAAAAUAUAAAAAUCAUUAACGGGUCACAACUUCCUCUUCAUUAAAAACUAAAAAAAGGAAAACUCCCACUUUUGUAGUCGGGUCCCUUACCUAGCUCCCUUCCGUCCAAGAGACAAAAAGUCUAACCUCUCAUCCUCUAAGAAAAUAUCUUUAGAGGUUGUUUGGUUAGAAAGAAAAAUACAAUCAAAACGAGUAGGUAAGGUAGAGCAACGCUCUGUAUAUUUCUUACUAAAACAUGUCAAGUGAUCCUCCUCUCCAAUGUCUUCCCCUCUUCAAAGAGACGAGAGAUAUCAAAGAUAUAUGAGAGAUAUAUUACAAGGAGAUAUCUUAGGAUAUAUAUAAAGAGAUAUUUUCAACCUCUUGAUUAGAUAUCCUAAAUAUCUUAAAAGAUCUUCAACUGAUUACAAGGAGAGAAUUUAUAAUUACACCAAAUAUCUUAAGGUAAAAAUCUAACGAAGUCGGUGUAAAAUAUCUAAAUAUUACAUUUUCGCAUCGGAGAAAAGUGAUGCAAAAAUUUUUGCAUCGAAGAAAGGCAGUGUGAAAAUUUUCGCAUUAGAGAAAGUUAGUGCGAAAAGUUUCACAUCGGGGAAAGUCAGUGCAAAAAUUUUCGCAUCAGGGAAUGUCAGUGCGAAAUUCCUUUUUAGCUUUAUGCAGUUGCCUUCAAAUGGUCAUAACUUCUUCGUUUUAGCUUCGAUUUGCACACCGUUUGAAGCAUUGGACUCCUGACUUCCCAAGAUUCGAAAUAAUAUAUAGUAUAUAGACAAUAAACUCCAAGAAGUGCUCCAAAUUUUCCUUGAAACUGCUGCUCUUUUGAAUUUUGCAUAACAUGUGAAGAUUUCGCAUUACCAUGUGAAAUUGCUUCAUGAUGGAUUUAUUUCUCUAAUCCUCUUCCUUUCAUCUCUUGAUUUUCUUGGAAGCUCAUUCCCAAGGGUUGCACAAAAUUCUCCCUCAUUCUUGGCUUGCUUCAAUGAUAAAAAAGCUACCAAAAACACCAAAACUAGCCAAAAAUUGAUUAAAAACAUUUGCAAGGUUCCUUAACUUGCCAAUUGAGUUAAAAGGUAUUAAUUACUACUCAAAAGUGUUUAAAAUAGUUUAUAACAAGCUAUAAAAAAUGCACUUUUUGAGUAGUAAUCAGCUGGCAAGUGCCAUCUGCUGACGUGCCAAGAUCUUGGAUCGUGUAGUUGUCUGUCCCCUCAACCUGUCGACGUCUGAGAUUAUAUGCAGCAAUUAAUUAACAUGGACUUGUGGGCUAAAUGGAGUCUCGUAGGCCACUCAAAAUGUCAAGCGUGAAUGAUCACGCAUGCCAUAGAUCUUUAAGACUUGAUGGGACAGUUCUUCCCGUUUGGGAGUCCGAACUCCCAAUGCCGUUUGGCCUUGUGAGGGAAAGGAACCCUCUCACUUUUGGUGCCAGACGGAACUUGUCUUGGUCUGGAUGGAAUGAUCCGGAUGGAUUACAUACUUGUCCUAGACGACUAGAGUAUCUAAGCUGGAAAGGGACACGUGAAGGGGGACCCCCCAUAGGCAUUUCUUCAUCACAAAGGAGCUUCAACAUGUACCGCUUCAUGGGAACACCCAUAGGUGAGUUUUUAUUUUUAUUUUAUAGGAAACUUUGGUAUUUGGAUCCAUGAGGGUCAUAUAUGUAGUGGAAGAUUGACAAUUGUUUUUUUUUUUUAAUAUAAUAUAGAGUCAUGAAUGUUUGGAAGCUAGUGCCUUGGCUUUUUUUAGAGAAAAAAAAAAAGUAAGAUUGCUGUAUAUACACAUGGCCAUCCAUGCGAUGUUUCAAGUGUGUUAGUAGUUUGUUUCAUUGAAUUAAAAAUUAAAGUGAAUGUGGUGGGUCAUGUUGUUAUUGGUUUACAUUCUUAUAAAUUUAAAAUGAAACAAAUGAAAACUAAUAUCCAUGUAGCUUUAUAAUAUUCAUAAAAAUUUAUUUAUUUAUUUAUUUAUUCAUUUUUAUAAAUUUAUUUGUUUCAAAUUUUGAAUAUCCAUGUUAGUUUAUACUUUUCAUAAAAUCAUUUUUUGUUAAUUUUAAAUAUCUAUGUUAAUUUAUAUUGCUCCUUGAACUUUUAGUUUGUAAUUUUGGUCAAUCCAUGUUAAUUUGUGUUUUCCUUAAAAUUAUUAAUCGUUAUUUUCGUUGAUCCAUGUUAAUUUUUUGUGGUCCUUUGAAUUUUUAGUUUUUAAUUUGAUGGCCUAUGUUAAUUUUUAUAUACCUCUGAGCUUUUAGUUGAUGAUUUUAAUAACCUAUGUUAGUAUAUAUUGCUUCUUGAAUUUUUAGUUUUUGGUUUUGGUUGAUCCAUGUUGAUUUAUAUUGCUCCUUGAAUUAUUAAUUAAUAUUUUGGUUGAUCCAUGUUGUUCAAUAGUUUUCUUUAAAUCUUAGGGUUUUAGUUUUUAUUUACCUCUUAUUAGUUUGUGAUUUAAAUAUCCUUAGAUGUUAGUUUUUAUUAUUUUCCAAUUAUUCAUUCUUAUUGAACCUAAAUUAGUUCAUGUUUUUAUUAUCUCUAGCAUUAGUUUGGUUGUUCCUCAUUAAUUUAGGUUUUAAUAUCCCUAGUUGUUGACUUUUUUUUAAUAUUUCAUGUUAGUAUAUAUUCUUAAUAAUUUUAGGGUUGGUUUCCAUUAAUUUAUUUUCUCAUGUUUUGAUAUUCUAGUUGUCAUUUUUCAAUAUUUCAUGUUAGUACAUGUUCUUAAUAUUUUAAGGAGUAGUUUUCACUUAUUUAAUAUCUCGUGUUUCAAUAUUUCAUACUUACUAGUUUUCGAUAUUUGAUUGUUAGUGCAUGUUCUUAACAUCUCUAGGCUUAGAUGCCAUUGAUCUUGUUAUUCCGUUAUUCUUAAAAUUUAUUGUUGGUAGUUUGAUGUUAGUUUUAUAAACUAGAUGUUAGUAUAUAUUUUUAUUUUUUAUUCUUUUUUAUGUUCAGUUUCCUUUACCCUUGAUGCAAUUAAUUUAUGUUAGUUUAAAAUUGUUUUUAUCAUUGUUAUUAUUAUUAUUGUUGUUGUUGUUGUUGUUGUUGUUAUUAUUAUUAUUAUUAUUAUUAUUAUUAUUAUUAUUAUUUGUUAACCCAUAUUGAUUUUUUUGUUGUCCUUUGAUCUUUUAAUCUUAGGUAUUGAUAAUCCAUGUCAUUUGAGUAUUAUUAGAUCAUUUUCAUGCUAUGAGAGUUCUCAUCUUUAAAAUUUUGGUAGUUUUAAGGUGUUAAAUAUUCUUAGUAUUAUUCAUGAUAAUUUUAUGUUAAAUAAUUUUUCUUAAAUGGCAGUAAAUUAGUUUCAGGAUGAUUUUUGGUUAUUUGUUUGAUAUUAGUUAGAUUCAUGUUAUUUAGAUUAUUUGCAUGCCAUUAAAAGUCUUAUCCCUUAUAGUUUAUUAAUUCUUAGGUUUUAAUCUUCUUGUUUUAGUUUCAUGUCAUUCGAUAAUUUUCCAUGAUAUUGAAAGUUCUCAUCUUAGAAAUUUAGUAGUUUUUAGGUUUUGGAUCCUCUUGUUAUUAUUCAUGUAUUUUGAUUGUGUUAUUGUAUUAAACGUUGUCUUUUUUGGAAACUCGGUAGUCUUAGGAUUUCGAUCCUCCAAUUAUUAUUCAUGCAAUUUGUUUGUGUUAUGAAUUAAAAAUUUUAUCUUGGAAAGUUUAGAAGUUCUUAGGACUUAGCCUCAUUCUUAUUUUAGAUUCAUGUUAUUUAUUUAUAUUCAUGCUAUUUAGAAAUAUGGUUGCUCAUCUUUUAAAGCUCGUUUUUCUUUUAAGACGUAGUUUCUUGUUACCACUCAUGGUAUUUAAUUAUUUAUUUAUUUUGAAAGCAUAUUGGCUUGUUUGGGACUCGAAUCUCCUUAUUAAAAUUCUUGUUUGAUCUUUUAUAUUUGAAAGCAUGUUAUUUUUUUGUGAUUUAGUUAAAAUUCAUGAUGUUAAUUGUUUAUCUUUCAAAGAUUGAUUUUUAGAAAAGGAUUUUUAAAAAUUGACAUUUUGAAUUAAGUCAAAAUCACUUCUUUUCUUUCAAAAAAUGAAUUUUUCCCCAUAAAUGAUGUGGCUCCUUGAUCCCAAAUGAAAGGUAGCCAAUAAGGCAAUGCAUGUUGAUAAUUCUUUUGUUUUCAAAUCCCUUUUAAAUUAGAAAUAAAAUAAAGUAAAAUAAAAACUUCAUUUUGUGUCCAAUGUUUUGGAUUCAUCAAAUCACAUGGUUUCUUUUGCUUUCCUAAAAUCAUUCUCAAACGAAUUUAAAUCUUUUUUUAAAAAAAAAAAAAUCUAUUCUGGGUUUUUAAGGCUAAGAUCUCACUUUGUUUUAAACAAAAAAAUAUAUAUGUAACUUAGUUUUAUCCAGAUUGCAUUCCUUUUUCUUAGUUUUCUAAAACUUUAUUUUCUUAACAUAGAUUUAAACUUGUGCUCCCAAGCUAGUAGGAAUACACGGGUGAAUCUUAUGAAUAUUAAUUGGGGAUUCGAUGGGACCCCAACAUAAAAGAAUAUUUUCAAAACUUAUUUUUGUUGCCACUUUUUCUACUUGUUAUAAUCAUAGCCGUCAAUUUUUUAGGAAUAAUAUGCAAGAUGUAUGUGAAAAUUGAUGACUUUGUAUACUCUAAUCAUUUUUGUUAUGCUAUUUAGAUACCAAGCAUCCUAGGAUUUCUUUCUUUUAUUAUUUAUUACUAGAAUUUUGAUCUAACCUUCCAUGUCCUAUGAAAGCGCAUUAUAAGUUAUCUAUGUUAUUCAGGUACUCAUCUUACCUUCGCAUUUUAAUUCCAUAAAUUAUGUAUUGCUUUAUAUAUGAUCAUUACGUAUUGCUACGUAUGUGAUUGUCAUGUUUAGCUUAUUUUUUUUAUUGUUUGUUUGGUUUGUCAUGUUUGAUUAAGAGACUAGGGUAAAAUGCAUGAUGUGUGUUUAUUUUCUAAACUGACCAUUGAUGUCUUGUGAUAGUGCUUAAGUUGCGAUUCAGGCAUGCAAUACAAUCCUUUCUUUAUGAUUGUGUUUUGAAUUCCUGUUUGGCUUGUAAGUGUUGAUAGAUUUUAAAAAUCACCUUAAUCCAUCUAAGUAUCCAUAAUCAACUGACUAAUUGUCAUAUUUCCAUCAACUUAGCUAGUAGAGACCUCUUUAAGGCUUAAAGGGAUGCUACCUCUUUGGAGGUACCUUCCCAAUAGGUAACCUAAUCCCCAAACCCAGACUCGAGUUUUUCGUAGAUAACUUUUUCAAAAGCUAGGAGUCAUUUUAAGGGUUUUGUUCUUACUUGAUUUCCCCUUUUAAAAUUAAAUAAAUAAAAGUAAGUUGUGACUUUAGUUUUUUUUUUUUUUUCGUAAAAUGCAAUGUUUCCGUAAACAAAAGUGAGUCUCGCCAAUCGAGUGGGGAUGUAUUGUGAAAAAUGUGGGUCCACAACAACCCUUCAAGGAAUGUGUCUAGUAUUUUAAAGACAUUUCUUCUAAAGGUCACCUUCAAAUCUAUAAACAAACAUCUCUUCUGAAUGAAUAUUCAUCCAUUCUCUCCAAUCUCUCUUUUAUUGUCAUUCAAGUCCUCCUUAGCUUCAAGUCUAGUCAUUUCUCUUUUUUUUUUACCAAAUAUUUGGUAUACAAGUGAGUACAAAUCACCAAGUGAUUCACCAUUUUUUUGUGAUUUGAAGUGUUACUAUCGCAAAAAAGUGACCAUUGUAUCUUGGGAGACAAUUGUCAAUAAACCAUAAGCACCUGAACGGGAAAAAUUCAUCUUAAGGACAUAGAGUCAAACUUUAGCCUCGAUCAACCUUAUUUGUGAGUUUCAAUUUCCUACUUAUUUUAUUUAUUUGUAUAUCUACUAUACACACUUAUUAUCCAUAUAUUUUCAGUGAUUGGACUACAACUUUUAAUCGUAAAUAGAGAUUUCUUCUCCAAAUAGGAUUUUAGGAGAAGAAAUUAUGUUUAUGGAAAAGUUUUUACUAUAAAAAAUCAAAUUUAAUGUAGUAGAUCUUGACUUAUCAUGUUUGAAAGUCUAUGAUUAUUGAUAAAAAAAAAAAAUUAAUGUUAUUUUUCUUUUAAUUACAAGUCUGUUAUAUAUAAAAAAGUUAAUAUUUAAGUAUAAAACCUUUUAGAAAUGUAACUCAACUCUAUUUAUGGAAUAAUUUUAAAUUUUCCUUUUAGCGAAAGUUGAAAUAAACAUAAAAUAACUACUUUUAUUAUAAGUUGAUUUUAUGUUUGGAAUAGAAUGCUUUUAUUAUAAAUAAAGAAUAAUUAAGAUAUUUUAAAAUUUUAGUUAAAUAAAACUUGUUGAAUACACAAAUAUUUUCUCUCUUUACACCCAUCUUAUUUUAAUUUUAUUUUUUUUAUAGUAAAAAUGUGAAUGUCUUUUUCUUCAUCAUCCUUUUGAUGCUCAUGUCUCAAAUCUUAAUUAGCUUUCUUAUUCACUUUUCUUCCCCUUUCCUUUAUUUUAUUUCAAUUUUCUUUUAACUAAAAUAGAAAAACAACUAAAAAAUAAUAAUAGUUGGCGUGCAACCAUGACUAUUGUCGGUAUAGAUAGAAAAGAAUUGGUGGAUUAAAUAACCACUAAAUUAAUCAUCAAAACUUUAACUUUUUAACUCAAUAAAAUUUAGACUUGACAAACAAUGGGUCAUACACAUUGAACAAAUGUUAUGCAAUUCAAAAAGUGAUAUAUGGCAAAAUUUGAAAGGCCACAAAAUCAAAUCUUGUAAAAUAAAAAUAAAAUAAAAUGAUUAAAGUAAAAAAGAGAAUUAGAAAAAGAUACUCUCUUGUUAGUAAAUUUCUGAAAUGAAAGAAACAAAUUGCUUAAUUGAAGUCAAAAGAGAAUUGUAAAGAAAUAUUCUCUCGUUGAUAAAUUUUUUAAAUGAGGGGACACAAAUUGCUAAAUCAAUCAAUCAAAUCCCUUAAAUUGAGUAAUCAACUAUUGGGGAUUCCAAAUUUAAUAUCUUAACUUCACCUAUAAAUAAAUAUCAACUCCUUCAAUAUAGGGGAUUAAAAAAAUAAAUAAAUAAAUAAAUUUAAGAAGAAGACAGAGAAAAAAGGAUUCUCAAGGAGAAAAAUGUUUCACAAUAUGCCCCCUACAAGUCCAAAAAAAGCACAUGAAAAACUACAUACAUACUUUUCACCAUUCUCAAAGUUCAAUAAAGUCAUUUAGAAACAAACUAUGUAAGACUCUCAAUUGAACUUUAAUUUCAAAGAAAUACUUACAUCGUCAUUCACUAGAUUAUGAUUAAAACAAUCAAAUCAAAGGAAAAUUUUCUUUACAAAGAAUAUUAUAAUGGAGAAUUAUACCUCAUAAUUUUUCUAAUUAGGAAAAUUUAGGUAGGUGUAUUUAACAACUCAUUCAAAAAUAAAUUUUAUCCCUAAAAAAUUAAUAUACAUUUAUAGGAGCACUAAGUGACAAAAUUCGAAACUAAUGGAGAUUUAAUGCAAUUUUAUGAAGAUUAGACUGAACGAGGACCGGAUUGGUCUAGUUCACCACAUCAAGCCAAAAAUGAGUUGAAUCGACAUUAAAUCGGUCCAACCACUAGGUGAGUUAGCUCAGCCAAUUCAAGAGCUACACUUUACUCCCUUUUUUCUUUUCCAAAACUCACCUAACGGUCCAACACAUAUAAGCCCAUAGUUAAUUUGCAUGAAUGACAAGUUUAUAUAGUCUACUUUUGCUUCAUGCUUUUUCAAUGUAGAAUCAAGUGAAUUUUUGUUUUUCGAGACUAAAUGUCAUGACCAUGGGAUUUGAACAAAAGAUGGAACACCCAAGUUAUCCUUACAUGUUUGCAAAGAAAAGCAUUUGAAAGUGAUUGCUACUCAAAAAGUGCUAUUUGAUAGCCUGUAAUUAACUCUUUUAAACACUUUUGAGUAGUAGUUAUCACCUUUGAACCCAAUUAACAUAUUAAGGACCCUUGCAAUCAAUUCUAAUCAAAUUGUGUUAAGUUUUGGUGUUUUGAUAGCUUUUUUAUCACCAAAGCAAUCCGUGAUUAAGGAGAGUUCUUUGGAAUCCAUAGCAAAGCAAUGGAAAGCUCAUAAACAUGAAGAACCGAAGCUUUGAAGUCCUUUUCCAUAAGCAGAUUCGGAACGCAAUGAGUAAAAGAUGUCCGGACAGGAUGGCAGCGGAAGUCAAUGAUCCGGACAACAUAUCCGGAUAGGAUAUGUUAUCGUCCGGGUAUGAUGUUCACGAGUGCCGUGUGCUUUUCCCUGAGGGAGUCCGGAUAAGGGGAGCGCGCCACAUGUCCUCUUGGGGAAUUCGGAUGGUGUUGAUCCGGAUAGCCUUGCGCUCUCCAUGUCAUCCGAGAGAGGGGUCCACUUACGCAACAUAGCUCAUUCCACCCGGGGAAGAAUUCUAUCCGGCCGACUUUCCACCUUCUCCGGACAUUUCAUAUCCAGAAUUCCGUGCGCCGACAUUUUACAUCCGGAUGUGAGCCGUGCGCCGACAUUUUGCAUCCGGAUGGGAGAGGAGGACGUUUCAGCUUCUCCGGUCAGACAUAUCCGGAUCCACUGAUAGCACUUACCAAGAGAGUUUUUCUCUCAGUAUACAGUGCCACGGUGUUCUCCUGAAGCUUCCUGAUAUUUCCGACCGACAUCCUGAGAUAUUUUGCUUUAGAUAUUUGUUAUCUAAAUCCCCAAACUCUCCUUGUAAUCCACCUAUCAUAGGAUUCCUUAGUCUUUAAGUAAGAACAAAGGGGUGAAUAACCUCAUAUAUAUAGUUUGUAAUUUUCUUUACAGAGGAUAAUUAUGUAAUCGACGGAAGAAAGAAAUAUAUUUCAUAGAGCACUUGCUCUGUUUUUCCUUCAUAUAAUUGUUUUCUCGUUAGUUUUCUUAUUAGACAAACAAGCUUUGAGGAAGUUUCCUCAGAGAAUGAGUGGCUAGACUUUUAGUUCCUUGGAGUUAAGGUUGCCAGGAAAGGUUCCAAGUGCAAGAAUUAGUAGCUUUGUGGUUUCAGUCAUUAAUGAAGAGAAAGUGUGAUCCUUUAAUGAUUUCUAUGUUUUUAGUUAACUUAAAACACCUUCAAGUCACUUGAGCCAACACUUGGUAAGGCACGUGAUCUCCGUCCAUGGAGAUGCACUAGUUUACCUCUUGCGAGCUUUUGGGAAGUGACUUGAAGGUAGGAUUUUCUAGAAUUGCCAACACUUGGUAAGCUUUUGGACUCCAAGGAGACAUCCAUUAGUUAUCUCUUGCGAGCUUGAGAAGGGAAGUCCAAAGUUAAAGAUCACCUUGAAUGGAAAAUUCUAGGUGAGAGGCACGAGCCAUUGCAAGUUGCAUCAGUGAGAAGGAAUUAGAGCUGAAAUCCAUUUAAAGGAUACAUCUGUACAGCACCGGUUAGAGAAUUGACUAUAUGUUAAUUCUCUAAUGCGAGGAAAUGAACCAAAUGACCAGAGCUCUGUUUUUGCAUAAGGAACCUCCCCUGUGAACCUAAACCUCCAAGGAAUGUUUUUCUUCAUAAGUAAUUUCCAUUACUUUCUUUUCAGUUAGCUUUAAACAAAACCUCAUUUAAACAAAGUUUGUGUUUUAUUUCUUAAGCUAACCUUGAAAUGAAAAAGCACCAAUUUACUUUGAAUUGGUAUCACUUGUGAGUUGAAAACCCUUCCCAGUGAACGAUCCUAGAGCCACUAUGCUAUAUUAGCUAAGCUAUCCUAAUGCAUGGUGAUAUAGGUUAUAAAUUUUGUUGAUUACUCUCUCAAUCAAAGAGCACCAGCUAGACAUGAAUCAGUUGAGACACCAAUUGGGAACGAAUCAAAUGGCGCCAUUGCCGGGGAAGGUGCCAACUUCAUAGUGAUAUUAUUUCAGGGUACUUGUGGUUGUCAUCACAAGUUUGGUGAGUUUUCUCUCAUUUUACUAACUCUUUUAGUUUUUUUUCUUUUACUCGUUUAUAUUCUAGCAUAGUUUUUAAUUUAGUUUUAGUUAAUCGAACUCUUUUUGGUAGUUUUGUUUUUGUUUUCCUCUGUUUUUGUUUUUUUUUUUCUUUGUUACAGUUAAUACUAGUUGUGUAUGCCAAAGUGGAUACGAGAUUGUGGAGGAAGGCUUGUUAAACUUGAAACACCUCAUAACAAGGAGUUGGAAGUAAUCUUGAACAUCAUGGAAUCAAAAAGCUAUAUAUACAUUAUUGAAAAUUUUAAAAUGAAUAUAAAUAUUUAUGAUUUAUCUAUAAUAAAUAUGGGAAUAAUAUAAAUAAAAAACUAAUAAUUUGAAGAUAAUAAAAUGUAUAGCAAUUGAAAUACAAACAAAUUAAAAUAAUAAAAUCUUUUUAUCUUAAUAAAUAAAAGUUACUCAUUUAAUAAAACAAAAAUUACUAAUAAUUUAAUAAAUCAUUAAGUUAUCCUUAUCAUAUUUUAAGCUAUCAAUAUUAACAAUAAUAAAAUGAUGAAAUGUGUUUAAAAUUUAAUUACUUAUUUAUUUUCUUAUUUUGUAUAAUUGUUUUUAGUUUUAUUAAUAAUGCAAUUUAUAUAUUUAUGACAUCAUUGGUUUAAUCAUUUCAACCAUCGAUUUGAUCAGGGAAUUGUGAACUAAUAAUUUUUCCAAUUUAAUGAUUAAUCCAACUUUGAAAACAUUAUUUUAAUGUAUGUACACUAAACCUUAGCGGAUGUGAUUGAAAUUAACUCAUACAAACAAUUUUGUUCGUAUAUAUUUCUAGUUCUUUUACUUAUGUUUAUAUGACUUUUGAAAUUUGCACAUAUAAUUGCUAUUGAUAGCAUUUGGAUAUGCAUUCUAACCUAUUGGUCAUGACUAAGCAAAACCACUAUAAACAACCAUGACAUGAGUACCAACAAAGCCAAGUCACUCACCCUCUUCAUAUAGUUUUUAUUUUUAUUUUUAUUUUAUUUUUAUUUUUAUUUUUGUUAAUGUUUGGAUAUGAGAAUAAGGAAAAAAAGACAAGACAUGCAAGCAAGGGAAAGGAAAAGUAAUGGGAGGGAUAAAAGAUUCAUAAUAAUGAUAAGGGCUUAAGUAUGGUACAGAUAAGACCUUUUUAGUACCAAUUAGUGGGUAUCACAUAUGCACUGGUUCAUUGCUUUGUUCUUAGCAUCUCAUUAUUUUGUAUUGUGACCUCCCAAGUUGGAUCAAACUAUGCAUCACUUUCCUCCUCAAGAUCAAAAAUCCAAAAAAUAAAAAAGAAUAGGUCGAUUAGACAAACCUUUCUUCAAUAAUCAAGUUAACCAUGAGGUUAAGUGAAAAAGACAUAAAAGAUUAAAUUGUUUUUGUACCUUAUUUUGGUGUAUUAAUUAUGAGAAGUUAAUAAAUGGAGGCAUCAAUUAUAUAUUAUACCUUCAAUGAUUUCCAUUAUCAAUAUCUUAAAGGCUCUAAUCAUUAUGCAAUAAUUAUGGAAUGACAUUUAAGGUUUUGGUCAUUACAUGAUUAAUAUGUGAGUCAUUGUCAUUACAUAAUUAAUGUAUAGGUUAUCAUUUAUACAAGGUCGUAUUUUCAAAUACUGAUCAUAUUUUAUGAGUGGUAGUCAUUCCUAAAUGUGAUCAAUGCUUUUUGUGAUAUGAUGAUGAUAAUGAUCUAUUAUUGUAGUGAGGUGGGUCUCAUGGGACCUCAUGACAAGCAUUAUAUGGAGGUAGCACAUUGCUUUUUUUACUUUGCUACAUGACAAAGGAUUUUCAUAUCGCUACACUUCCUAUUUUACAUGUGAACUAAUUAUUUUAUAUUUUAGUUCCAUUAUUUUGUAGUUGAGUCUUAUUACAGGCAUUACAUUUUAAUCUCAAUGAUCUAUAUAAUGGUUACAUGUGUUUAUAACAUGGGUCUUUAUACUUUCAUUUAGUGACUCAGAUUUUAUUAUAUACUUAAAUGAUUAAGAUUAAAUUUUCAAUAUCAUAUCAAAUAUAAACCCAAUAUUUUUUUUAUAAUAAUAAAUUUAUUGAAGAAAUGUAUGACUGAAUAUUAGAGAUUGUGGCUCUCAAGUUAACACUAAAAAAACUAUGCACAUAGAAAAUUUUAGUGUUAAAAAACUUGAGGAGAAUUAUUUCCAAUUGGUGACAUGUGUUAGGUAUAAAGUUGCUUUUAAUAAAAUUGAUAACUACAUUACUUAAAUAUAAUACCUUAUUGGUAAUAAUAGUAAAGGUUUAAUUAUGACACCAAAUACUACUUUUUUUGGUAUCAUAUAAAAAAGUUAUCAUCAACUAAGGGUAUCAAAUGUAUGCAUGUUGAUCCUAUUACUUUGUACUUGAUAUCUAAUUAGUUAUACUUUAUAUACAUAAUGAUCGUAUUGGUUUGUAUCUUGGUUCAUUACUUUUCAACAUAUGAUACCUAGAUUUCAUUAUUUUAUACUAAGUGUUUCAUUGUUUUAUACCAUAUAUGUGAUCUCAUUGAUCCAUACCUUUGUUCCAUUAUCUUGUACCAUGUGAUAGCUCAGUUCCCUUGCUUUUGCUAUGUAUUACAUGGGACUUUGGUUCCAUUAUUUUGUAUUCAAUUGUGUUAUUAUUUUAUAAUUUAUAUAUAAUUCUAUUGUUUUCUACCUUAAUUUCACUAUUAUUAACUGUGAAUAACAAUCUCAAUAAAAAAGUUUUCUAUGAUAUGGGAUCUAUAUUAUAUAUUAAAUUUAUCAUAGAAGGAAGAUAAUUGCUCGCCAUCUAAUGCUCAAAAAAACUUAUGCAUAUGAAAGAUUUUCGUGUCAGAAAAUUAGAGAUUUUUUUUUUCUAGAAUUGAGUCAAAAAGGUACAUGUGUGACAUUUAAAUUUAUGAUUGAGAUAAGACCAUUUGGAAUUAGAGAAUUGAUCGAUGUUCAAUUAAUAAUGCAGCAGUGUUGAAAUUCAGUGGAAUUAAUUUAGUUACUAUUGAAUGGAUGUCUCACAAAGUGGACUAAAUUUUAUCGAUUUGAUUGAUUCGAAAAAUUCAUAUGUUUAACGGAUUUAAUAUUGGUGAUUAAUUAUAUCAAUUCGAAAAAUUACAUACUUCUUACAAUCAUUCAAUAUUAAAUUAUAUUGUUUAUUAGGGAGGAUUGAAGAGAUCAAAGAAUGCCAAGGAAAAAAAAAACAAUGACACACGCCCACAGGCUAAGACUUCAACAUUAGCUAGUGAUUUAUUCUAUAUUCUAUGUCAGCCAUGACAUCACCUCCAUUAUUCUUCUCCAAGCCAAAACCACAUGCUGAAGAUCUAUAUAUAUAUCUGAAUCAUCCGGUGUUUAAUUCCACUGAAAGUAAGAAAAUUUCUUAGAAUUUUCUCUGUUAGCCGUAGUAUUAGCUAGUGAUGAUGAAGAAAAUAGAGCUUAUUUUUGUCUCUGUCUCAGCUAUAGGACAUAUUGUAUCAACUGUGGAGUUUGCUAAGCUUCUUGUUGGUAGAGAUGACCGCUUCUCAGCCACUCUGCUCAUCAUGAAGCUACCUUUUGAGGACUCUGCGGCAACCAACUAUAUCCAUUCAGUUUCUGCUUCCGUUUCCGGGUCCAUUCGAUUUGUCCACCUUCCUGAACUCGACUCAGAUUCAUCAUCGUCAUCCACUAGUAUCUUAUUCUCUAAUAUCAUUGAAAGGCAGAAGCCUCUGGUGAGGGAUGCAAUUCACCAUCUCACUCGGUCUGAGUCAGGUCGACUCGCUGGGAUUGUGGUCGAUUUGCUUUGCACUUCCAUGAUAGAUGUAGCUAAUGAAUUGGGUGUUCCUUCCUACGUGUACUUCGCCUCCAGUGCGGCCUGCCUUGCUCUCAUGUUUCAUCUUCAAACCCUCAAGGACCACCAGGGCUUGGAUGUUACUGAGUUUGCUAACUCGGAUGCUGAGUUGGUGGUCCCGGGUUUUGUCAACUCGGUUCCUGCUCGAGUCUUGC